UUAUUAUUUUGUUGGAAUAACCUGUCUAUGUGGAUUACCGCAUGCAUGGUGAAUGACCUUUCGUAUUCAUUCUUUAUAAAAUUGUGAAAAUAAUCUGUCUACGUGGAUUACCGCAUGGCGGGUGAAAAUCCAUUUGCAGUUUAGUAUAUUCUAUUAUACUCGUAUGAGAUAACAUUUCUUUUGUACUUGUCAUGGAAUAUUAUUUUCUUUGGUAUUUUUCUUUUACGAGUUACUACUCAUGGUUUACUAUUCACUCUAGUAUUAUUCACUCGGAUAUUUGGGGCACUUUUCGUGCCGCUAUUCACGAGUUACUAUUCACCUGAUUACUAUUCACUCUAGUAUCAUUCACUCGGGUAUUCAGGACACUUUUUGUGUCGGGGUACUAUUCACGGGGUACUAUUCCCGAAGUACUAUUCACCCAAAAAAUAUAUUUCUUUUCUGUCCAAAUUAUUUUUGGUACAUGAAUAUUAUUCUUGAAUUUUACUCUACAAAGCAGUAUCAUGUUGACAAUUUGGACGUUAUUGAUUUCUGGAUAAAUUAAAUUAUAAAUCUUUAAAAUUUAUCCUUGAACUUGUUUUAUUGAAUUAUUAUGUCAUUGUCAUCAUCCCCAUGCUUAUAUUGUGAUUAAAGUCAUCUUUGGCUUAUGUGCAUUGAUGGACUUGGUAUAAUUAUGAUCAUGGAUUAUUUAGAAUAAUCAUUACCGUAAUGUGACGAAUGAUAUGGUAAAAGUCCUCAUUGGCCUGUAGUUCAUUGAUGGACAGUUGUUGGUAUGAUUAUGACCAGGGAUUAUUUGGUAUAAUCAUGACCAUUGAUGAUUACUUGAAUAUCCUUGGUCGUGGUGCAGGAAUGAUUUGAUUUUAUUUAUUAAGCUGAGUCUCAGCGAUAAGGUUGAUGAAAAACUUUUUAAAUCAUAGAAGAUAGUAUAUUUUAUGCUCUACUUGACUCUUCUAAUGGAUUGUUUAUUUCCGCUUCAGUUGUUGAUCUAAAACUUGUUGUCUAUUUUAUUCUAUCAGUUGUUAUACUGUUGAAGGCUAAGGAUAAUUUAUUCUGCAUUAUCUUAGUCAUAAUAUUUCUUACUGGGCUAGUUGAGCUCACCCGUUCUUUCAUUGUUCUCUUCAGGAAAUGAGAAUAUAGCUAGGACGAGUCGGGAAAUGGAGUGAUGGUCCAAGAUAAAUGGCUUUAGUAGUCCUCACUAUUCUACGAAAUAAUGUGAUAAUAAUUGUAAUGAGGACACCAUUGAGUGUGGAUAUUGUCUAGAUGACAAUAUUCUUGUUUAAACUCUCAGCUAUGUUUUGUCGUAUUUUACACAACUGUUGUAUAAUUAAGUUGUAUUUGAAUUUUGCUACUCAGUUCUUUCGAACGUAUGCUUAACUGCAACUGAUUAGCACAACCCAAGAACUCAACUCUCAUAAAGUGUAUUCUAAGUCUGUUGGACUUGAAGAGUUCUAAGUGAAUUAAGAAGUUCCAAGACUGCUGGUCUUGAAGGAAUCUGAGUGAUUCAAAGAUUGUAAAGAUAUCCUUAGUGGAUUUCCUACUCAAGGAGUAGAAGAGUGGACUAGGAGCCUUGAAUUCUCUGAACCACUUAAAAUUACUGUGUUUCUUAUAUACCUGUUAUAACUGCUAUAUUUGUCAUAGUUGCUUAUCACCUAUAAACUUGGUUUAUCUUAAAGGGGAACAAACAAAUCAUAUAUUCCGUUAUGGUUAAUUUAUUAAUAAAUCUGACAAGUAUUUUAAAAAGAAAAAGUAUUUAAAAUAUCUAUUCAGAUACUAUUGUGUCUCUGGGAACUAACAGAGAUACCUUUUGUACAACACCCUAUUCGUAAAUCUGGAAGAGUACCGAAUAUACCUAAUAGGUAUGGAUUCGUCAUAGAGGAUGACGAUGAGGUACACAUCAUAAAUGAUGAUGAUCCAUUGAAUUACAAACAUGAUGUGACGCCCCCAAAUCUGGGUACUUUCAACCCACAGAUAUGGUGCUACACGGUACUCCUAUCUAUACAUUCAUUCCAUUGAAACAACAUCAAAAUGAUUGUAUUUACUAAAUUCUUAUUACAAUAAUAAUAAUAAAAAUAAUCCUUUCCCGGGUUCUGUAACCGAAUACAUUCUUUAUUAUCAUAAUAUGUUUCUUACAAACAUACUAAUCUAUUACAAGAUAAUCUACUUAUCCAUCUUAGCUUUGCCUUUAUCCCUACUGGGAUCAUCAGUUCUUUUGGCCUUAGCUGCAAUCAUAUAAUUCAAGCAAGAAGUGAGCAUAACUAGCUCAGCAAGUCUAACAAAGGAUAAUACAAAUACCUCAUCGAGAAUUAUAUGAUUAUCUUCCAUAACUGAACAAGUAGCUAUAAAGUACUAUGAAACAUUACUAUCACUUCUCAUUUCAUAAAUACAAUUCCAGAGUAUAUAUAAUAGCUUAGAAAGUCUGAACUGGUCGAAAGACCAUGAACAUUCUCUUUUUGUUUUCAUACAUGAAAAUGACAUCCCGGCACUAAGUCUGUACAUCCGAUAUAUCUUACGAGCACUUCUAGGUGAUCAGCCUAUAGUACUCUAUGUUGAUCAACACUUUUCCGUUAAACGUAUUUACGUUUAAGUUUUGGCAACCUCACGUGCCCAUCGAAUAAUCGAUGAAAAUACAUUUGUUUGUUCAUAUACAAACUUACCUUAAAUCCGUACCAAAUACUUAGCAUAGGAUAGCGUUAACAAUUUUAUAUCGAAAGACUUGUAAACAAAUCAAUCUAACUACGAUUUGUGCAGCGCGGCCAUUUGUGCUUGGGUUGGCGCUACGUCGCUUCCCAUGAGCCUUUGAAAAAAAUUUCAAAUUUUAACUACGAUUCCUCUCAAACUCAUAACUUAGUCGUUUUAAGUAAGAAUUGGCUCGUUCAAAAGCCAUUUUCUUACACGUAACAUAUACAUCGAUUUCAUCCGGACAAAAAUAGUUUGUAAAUCUGUUAACGAUGAAUUCACUAUUAACGUUCUAAUAACACGUUCGUUAAAUGUUCUUGAGCGUUCAAAGCUCGUUUGCUUUGUUAUAAGUUAGAAUUCAUCUGUUCUUGAGUCCACAACUUUUGAAUACGUUAUACUAUGCUAUACCAUCGAAAACCAAGGUUUCUGAACUAAAAGGCAAGUUUUGAUUACUAAUCCGGAAUUAUACAAUUUUGACGUUUAACGUCUAAUUUCGUAAAAUUCCCCAUAACUUCGUACUCGUGUUUUCUAUGCCAAAUCAAAUGGACCCAAUCCAUUGAUUCAUUGUCUACAUCCUAACCAAUCAAUAUGCACAUACCCUAUCAAUGGUGGUUUUCAAUUUAUCCAUCAACACCCAAGUCAACGUUCAAUGGUUUCUUCGAUUUAAAUUUACGUAAACACUUACGAUUUCUACUUACACAUGACUUAUCAAUGUUUUAAUCAUUAAUAGCCAUCCUUAUUCCUCCACAAGAGACAUACUCCACCAAUCUAUGAUUCUCUACAAAAAAAAUAAAUUUAGACGAAUCGAAACUAAGGUUUUACGAAUUGUUACCUUUAUGUUCUUCGCGUUCUUGCUAAAAACUCUUAUGAUUUACUUCGAGAUCACUUGAUUACUUGUUUCUAGCUCUUUUCUCUCUCUCAAAUAUGUUGGUCAAAGUUUGUAAAACAAUAAAUGAACUAGCCAAGCUUCUUUUUAUAGGAAUUUCAAAUGGAGGGUAAAAUGGUUAAUUGGUGACCUCCUUACUAUUCACCACCACCACAACAACUUAGCCACCAAGUAACUGAUAAGUAGGUUUUAUACCUACUUAUCCGGUAUCUGUUACUUGAAUUAGUUGCUUAUAUUCAUGUUCUUAGUUACUUUUCAUACAUUUUAUGUUAUUUUGUAGGCUUUGACAUGACAUUGGCAUGAAGAAGCAAGGAUAAGCAAUUCGGACAUCUUUUGGACUAAAAUAUGCAAGCAAAUGCAAGAAAGGAAUAUUGAAGGACUUUUAACACCAAGUUAGAUGUAUGUUCUUGGCUUGGAACUUGGAUUUUAUGGUAGCUCUACUUCUUAGCUUUUCAGAACAUCUUGAAUCAUCCCAAUCGGAGUUCGGAUGUGAGAGUUAUGUCCUUUUUAUCAACGAAGAUCAAAGCUAAGAGUUGUCAUACUUGCCAAUUACAUAGCAUCUACUUCAAGCCCGGUUUCUACCUUGAUUGAAUUCGAAUUUGUCAAAGCUCAAAGAAUCACAGUUAUAGAUCUCAUCGAUAUCUUCGAUUUGAUAGGUGGCAGGCCCCGUAACUCCAAGCGGAUCAAAAGUUAUGUCUGUUUUACCAAAGGACGUCGCAGCAGAAACUACGCGUAGCGCGGACCGCGCUAGAGGCGCGCUAGGCCACCAGAAACACUGCAUGCACAGCGCGGAGCGCGCCCAGAAAGGCUUAGCAGCAACGCGGAGUGCGCUAGGCGACAGGAAUAGAGUGAAAUUGGGUUAUUUGAUGUCCAAUUUGAGCUAGAAUAGGAUUCUUAGUUGCUUAACUUGUUAGGGUGUCCAUUAGAACUCUAAAUACUUGAGUUUUACUUGGAUUGGGAGGCUAAUUCUAAGACUUUAUAAAAUCCCUAUUGGGAUAGAUUUCUAUUAUCUAAUUCUUUACUUUCUUCCUUAGAUUAGGAACCCAAGAUUAGAUUAGAAGGGGAGAUUAAAGCAACUUGGACACCAUUGAAGAUCAAGAGCAGGAGCUUGAGGAAGAUGGAGAUUUGCUGACAACAGAUUUAAUCUUUACUCUACUCUUAUUCUUAUCUUUUAAUGUUAUUUCAAGUGUGGAUUCUUAGUUUUAAUUCAAUGAACUAAUUCUUUGUUUGAGAUUACAAUGGAUCUUAUUGUGUAAUUUAUUUUAAUAUGCUUCGUUAUCAAUUAUUAUGUUCUAUUGUGAGGAUUGUCUAUUGUGAUUUGGACUUAAUUGUUUAAUUAAUUGGCCAUCAAUUACCGUGAUAAUCUAUAUGAACUCGAGGGAUGAAGUAUAGAUUUAGAUCUGAUCAUGAUAGCAUGUGUUCAGGAUUUUGUUAGUAGCUUAAACUUGAUGUGUGUUUAUGAUAGAGAUAUGCCUUUAUACCGCAUGUAAUCGGAUAGAGAACUUGUUCUUAAACUUUCUUCAAUUAUAAUUCACAUAGAGAUAUAGUGGGUUAGUUGAUUAAGGUGUUUAACGGAUUUCUAUCUUAAUUGUGGAUUGACGUUAAUACGGUAUUAGUGCAUCGAGAGGUGGUUAAUACUACUUUAGUGUUCUUGAUUAACAAUUUGGGAUAGAGAAUAAUUGAUGAGAAGUGUGUUAACUUAAAUGAAGCAAUAAGUGAAGUUGUGAUCUUAAAUCUCCGUUAUCUUAAUUUAACUAGUGGAAGUUAAUAGUAGUUUAAUUUAUAUAUUUUAAAAUUCAUUCAUUUAAAUAAGAUUGAGUUGGUUACGGGUUAGUACUUGGUGAUUUUUAUUAAAUAAUUCUCUGUGGGAACGAUACUCUACUUAACACUUUAUUACUUGUUGACCACGUAUACUUGCGUGUUGUGCGUAUAUAGAUUUUACCCAACAGUAACCACUUUACUUGGUGACCAAGUGGCCGGCCCACAUGCCUUGUGGGCCCCCCAUGGGUUGCCCCAUGGUUUUUACCCAUCCGGUGACCCAUCGGUUCGAUCCGCGGUUCGGUUUCUUGGAUCGGGACUUAGAAUUAAUUUAUAUUGGGCCUAACUUGGGCUUGAUAUAAUCCAAGUCCAAUUGGAUUCUACAAAGUUCUUAAACUCAAAGUCCAAUAAGAACUAAUCGUAUUCUACGUGUAUAACUCACGUAUUCUCUUCGUUUAGUAUUCGUACGAUAUUCGUAUUAUACGUCGUAAUAUUCUCCAUACUAUACUCGUAUACUAACUAGUAUCAUACUCGUAUAACACACGUAUAAUAACCCUAAUCAUUAUACGCAUUUCAUUUCCUUCUCGGAAUUCACUUUCCCUAACUCUUAGCUUUUGAGUCCGCAAGCGAAAACUUCGUUCGCCAUAACUGAAAUAUUAUUGGAUAUUCCAUCUCGUCUUAGAAUUCUAUCAUUACGCGUUUUUCAAAAUUUCAAACUUAAUUCCCGAACAAAAAUGGAUGAAUAGUAUUUUUACGGAAAUUUCUCGGAAAACUUUUAUUUUUGUCUUGGAAAUUCAAAACAAUUAAUCCUAGCACAUAGCCAGAAUCCUAACCACAUCCGCACAUUCUAGGUCAUAGAACGACCUUCAUACAGCUUACUCACAUAAAUAAUCAAUUAAAUUCAUUUAAUCCAAAUAAUCAAAUAAAAAUUUAAUUCUAAUAAAAAUUCGAUUUUUUCGGGCGUUACACAUGCUAUCAGUACUAAAGACUCGGAGAAAUUGCUAUAAACCAUGAAAUUCGAGAUGGACUCCAUGUUUGAAAGCCAAGUAUAGACUUUGGUUUCACCACUUGAAGGUAUUAAGCCUAUUUGGUGUAAAUGGGUCUUUAAAAUAAAGACUGGAGCGGACGGCAAGGUAGAGACCUGUAAGGCCCGACUGGUUGCAAAAGGUUUCAAACAAAGACAAUGAGUUGACUAUGAUGAAACUUUCUCACCAGUAGCUAUGCUCAAGUCCAUUCGGAAUUUGCUUACGAUUUCAGGUUACCACUACUACGAAAUCUGACAGAUAGAUGUGAAAACGACCUUCCUCAAUGGGAAACUUGAGGAGGAUGUGUAUAUGACACAUCUAGAGGGAUUUGUCUCAACGGUUGGAACAAAUCAAGUCUAUAAGAUACAACGGUCUAUUUAUGGGUUGAAGCAAGCUUCUCGUAGGUGGAACAUCCGUUUUGAUGAAAAAAUCAAAGAGUUUGAUUUCAUCAAAAAUGAGGAUGAACAAUGUGUGUACAAGAAGGUUAGUGGGAGCGCUGUUUCAUUCUUUGUAUUAUAUGUUGAUGAUAUAUUACUGAUAGGGAAUGAUAUUUUUAUGCUAUAAUAAAUUAAAAUCUGGUUAUCUAAACACUUCUCCAUGAAGGACUUGGGAGAAGCAUCCUAUAUUUUUGGGAUAAAUAUGUAUAUAUAUAUAUAUAUAUAUAUAUAUAUAUAUAUAUAUAUAUAUAUAUAGAUCUAAAAGGAUGCUUGGCUUGUCCCAAGGAACGUACAUUUACACGAUGCUAAAGAAGUUUAUCAUGGAAAUUUCCAAGAGAGGUCUCAUGUCGAUGAGCCAUGGAAUACAUAUCUCCAAGAAAUAGGCCCCAAAGACACCUGAGGAGAGAGACCGUAUGAGUAAGAUCCCUUAUGCUUCAGCAAUAGGAUCUAUCAUGUAUGGUAUAAUAUGUACUGGACCUGAUUUCGCUCAUGCACUUAGUGUAAGAAGCAGAUAUCAAUCAAAUCCUGGAGAAGAGCACUAGAAGGCAGUGAAAAAUAUCAUAAAGUACUUUAGAAGAACUAAGGGUGUUUUUCUACGGUGGGUCUAAAUUGAAACUCAAGGGCUAUACAGACUCAAGUUUUCAAAAGGACCAAGAUCACAGUAAGUCUAUUUCGGGGUAUGUAUUUACCUUAAACGGUGGCAAAGUGAGUUGGAAGAGUUCCAAAUAGCAAACAGUUAUUGAUUCAGUGACAGAGGCAGAGUACAUAGCUGUAAGUGAAGCUGCAAAGGAGGCUAUUUGGAUGAAGAAGUUCAUAACCAAACUUAGCAUGGUUCCUAGCAUUAGUGGAGUAAUACCUUUAUAUUGUGAUAACACCAGAGCUGUUGCGCAGGCCAAGGAACUCAGGUCUCAUCAGAAAUCCAAACACGUGUUGCAGUGGUUUCAUUUGAUUAAAGAAAUCAUUGAAAGAAGAGAUGUCACCCUGGAGCGUGUGGACUCUCAAGACAACAUUACAUAUCCAUUUACUAAAGCGUUAACACAACAACAGUUUGAUCAUCAAUUAGAGAAGAUGAGUCUGAGGUACCAUGGCGAUUGACUUUAGUGCAAGUGGGAGAUUGAAAGUAGUAUGCAUACAAGUCAAUCAUGUAUGAUGAUAAAGCAUAUACUUUGUAAACAAUCUUAUUAUUUUAUUAAUAAAAGUAUUUAUUUACUAAAAGCAUUUAAUUUAACUACAUGGCGUUGUUUUAAUAAUAUGUGAUAAACUCAUAACUUUAACCAAUUCUUUUAGAAUCAUGAUGAGAUCAUGCUAAUGAGAUCUAAAUUCUUAGAUAGCUUAAAAACUAAAAUGUUAGUGAAUCUAGAUAGAUUGGUACAUAUGUUGCUUGCUCAUUGGAUGAGAAUGAUUGAUCUCAUGAUCAUUUGUGUGGAGAUACUAAAGCAAGUAUGUAGGUGCUUAUUGUAGAAUAAAUUCACUGAACGUGGCUCGCUAAGGAAUACCUAAUGGAGUUUUACUUGCCUGUCAAUAGGAAUUCCUGAAGUGAUAGUAGUACAACUGAUCCUUAGACUUGAGAUCAUCAUAUUAUCUUGUGUAUAAUGAAUUAUACUUUGACUUAUUCCUUAAGACCCUUAGGGUAUAUCAAAGGGUAUGCUUGGGUGUAAUAAGUUAUAUAUGGAGAUAAUGAAUGAUCAAUAAAGAAUCUACCGCUUCUAGUAAAAGAAGAGAUAUGUCCAAUGUGAUUCAAUAAAUGACAACCCAGGAAUCCUUGACCAAGGUGGAAUGAAAUUAGAAAGGAGUUUCUAAUUUACAUUUAUUCGAAGUUGUGCAUUUGUGAAUCAAAAUACAUAUAAUUAAAUAAAAUAAGACUUGACAAUAAUUUUAUGUCUUAUAUUUAAUUGGGAUAUUGUAUGGUGAAAGGAUUGAAUUGUACGGUAACUAUUUACUCAAAAGUUCUUUUAUGAUUAAUGUUAAAAUCAAUAUUAUCUGGAAAGUCGUUGAUCGCUAAGGAGGCUUGUCCUUAUUGUAGAAUAAAUGUUAUUUAUUUAAAUAAAUAAAUAGUUUAAUUUAUUUAUUUAAAUAAGAUUAAAAUUGUUCUAAUUGAUUUAUUCACAACCUGUUUAAUAUGGAGAACCUAAAGGGUCACACCAUAAAAGAAAGAAUAUUAUUUAAGAAGUAAAUGGCAUAAUUAUAAUAAUAAGUUAACUGUAUUUAAUUUAAUCUAUGGUGAUAAAAUUAAUUAAAUAGUUUAAUAUUUCAUAUUUUGAAAAUAUUAAAUAUUAAUUAAUAAGAGGAGUCUUAUUUUUAUUAUUACUAUUAUUAUUAAGUUAAUUCCUAAAGUUGUUCGAGAAUUAAUUAAUAUUAGUACUCUCAAAUAUUUCUAAUAAGAUUAAGAGGCUAAUUAAUUAAAAGGUUUAAUUAAUUAUUCCUAAUGAGAUUGGGAAGUCUAAUUAAUUAAAGAAGUUUAAUUAAUUAAAUAAAAACCCAAUUCCUAAAUAGUUUAGGAGGGUUCCCUAAAUCUAUAAAUAAAAAAGUCUUUUUUAUGGAAAUAGGAUGAAAAAAAAGAUACGUUCUUUAUUCCAAGAGUUGGGAGAGAACACCUUUUUCUAUCAGAGAUAGGAAAAACUAGGGUUUAGUCAAACACCCUUCUUCUUGAGUUUUGUUCUUCCUUAGUGGAUCACCUCUAGAGACCAAACGUUUGGGUGGCUAACGUUGAUCAAAGAAAGGAAUCAAUCCCGCGUAUUUAAGGAGAGCACGAAGGACUGCGAGUUGAACUUGUACCUGAGGAAACUCGAAUCUUUACGGGUAUGAUUCUGGUUCUCCUACUCUUUUAUAGAUUGAUAAUCAAGCACAAGAACGAUCAUGGUUUAUGAUUUGUAAGAAAAUUUUAAAAUCCAACUUUAUUACGCUUCCGCUUCGUUUAUGUAAUUUGAUUGCAUGUUCAUGUUUCUAUCAAACCUAACAGAUAUUAGCGGUCGGGAUUGACACUCAAAUUCUGAAUUCUUCUGAUGAUGAAUCCGAAGCCGAAGACAUCCCUCCUAACAACUGAUAAUUGCUUGUACUUUUUCUUCUUUUUAUUAUGUAAUCAAACCUCCAUGCACAAAUAUUGAAAAUGAAUAAAAAUAAUUUUUCUAAAUUAUAAUGUUGAAUUUUAUUGAUAACUUAAUUAAUUUAAAAGGUUAUAGAAAUUAAAUAAUAAAAGUUACUAGUAAUACUUCUGAACCCUCUCUGCAUGCGAAGUGUUUUUAAUUUUUGUUCCAUCCAUAUCCCAAAGCAGGUAAGUCUCUAGCUUCGGCACUUCUAUAACCUCAUAUGGACCUUCCAGAUUAGGUAUUAACUUCCCAACAUUUAGGGCUGCAGAAGCCUCCAUCUCCCGAAGAACUAAUAUCCAACUUCGAAUCUCCUUAGCUUGACACCGAGAUUGUAAUGUCAACCCAUUCUUCGUCUGAUUGUCUAUUCUAUUUUAGUUAUUAUCUAACCUGGGAUAGUUAGUCCUAUCCCAAUCUCUAGGCUUAUCCGAAGACUGAAUGCAAAUUUAGGCACCCCAUAGCUUCUUUAAUAGCGAUAAAGCCUUCGGCCCUAUCAUAUGCCUAUGACAAAUCCUUCGGCGAGUUGAACAUUAUAUCCUUCAUUAAUUUUUUUUUACUUUACCACAUCUAGUCCGUGGUUAAAAAAUUGAGGGCCUGAGGGGCGUCAGCUCUGUCACUGUCCCGACUGCUUCUCGGAACCUCUUCACAUAUUGGCUCAGGCUCUCGUCCAAACAAUGUUUAACUUGCAUGAGGGAAGCCGUCACCUUACCCCUCCUCUUAUUGCUACCAAAUUUUUCAUGGAAUUUUUCACACAACUCCUUCCACUAGUUGAUAAAUUUUGGCGAAGCGACAUCAUCCAUUUCAUUGCCUCUUUCCUCAGGGUGGUGAUGAACAUCUAACACUUGGCAGAAUCAGAAUGAUCAUAAAACCUCAUAAGCCAAUCAUAUGCUUGGGUAUGGUCAUAGGGAUCACUAAUGUCAUCAUAACUCGCAAAGUACUGAACCUUCUUACUGGGAUCGGCCUGAACCCGAUCAAUUUAUAGGGUAAAAGGUGAUGUCGGAUUAACUGUUGCAUCCUUUUCUUGGUUGACCGCUACUAGCUUCUGCUCUAACUCAGCUAAUCUACAAACGAGGGGGUCGGAUUCCUCCUUCCGGGGGGAUGGCCUACGUUGAUCUCGAGUAUGUUCUAGAGAAGCCACCCGUCGACUAUGUCCUAACCUCCCCCAAUCCUCAUUGUUUCCUUCUCGGGAGCGGCUCCUCCGCCUACUCCUACCGUACUGAGAAUGAUCCAAACGAUGUGUCCUGGAUCGGUCCUCUGGCGUAGCUUCCUGAUGAUGAUGCCGAGUCGAGUAAACCUUUUCUUCUUCUAUCAACUUAGCCACAUGAGCAUCCAACUCUUUUUAAUAAAGUCGUAGGGCCUCCAUAGCAUUCUUAUUCUCCAGUAUCUUUCGGGUUAAGAUCAACUCCCUUUUGUCCCGACCGUCCUACUUAGAACUUUGAUCUCCUUGAGUGUGUACCCGAGACUGAGUAUUCUCAGCACGACUAUGGGAACCUCGGGCUUUCUGAUUAACCAAAAAUAAUUAUCACUGGAUCGAGGCUGUCUUAUCCUUCGUGGGGCCCACAGAGUGGCUGCCAGGACCGAGCCUAUCUACGAUGUUCUUGGGAGGACCAGUCUAUCCUUGACCGAACCCCUAGGUUUAGUAGAAGGUUUGGACGAGGAUUUAUGUCGUUCAAAAACUGUAUCUGUUUUACAUGUCGCCAUAAUUCAUGUUGUAAGACCCCAACUUUUAUGAAUAAAGAUUAAUUUCUCUCGAAAUAUAUUUUUAAAUAUUAUGGUGUGGAUAUGAUAUAAUGUUAUAGUUGUGGGUAAUAUUUACAAAUUUUGCAAAGUAAGAAAGUGGUUAUAUAAUAUUCGAUUGGUCGGGGAAUAUUCAUUUUAGCAGGGAAUAUUCGUACGACGACACAACCAUUGGUGGACCCCACAACGGAACUAUUGUCGUAGUUAGAAAAUGAUAAAAUUAUCUUUUUAUAAAAAUAGCGGCGAAAGUUUUACCGUUAAACUGUUGAACUACCCGGUAGUAAAAGUAUAGUAAUACGCGUUGUUGCAUAGUAGCACACGGUAUUGAUUAUUGAUGCUUACGUAAGAAGUCACUCAGUUAUACUCAAUUAUUGCUAUAGUAAUUGUUGCAUCAUAUCUCUCAUAUUAUUGAUUCAAUUAUUGUCACAGUAUCAAUAUUUUAUAUUUUUAAAUCAUUAAUUGAGAUGACAAAGUUAUUCAUAUUAUUAUUUGCAAUAUUGAUAAUGUCUAAAAGUUCUGUCAAGGAGAGGUUUGGUCACCUAAUUGCGCGCCAAUAAGGAGAAAUCCUUAUCGGAAAGCCCCCUCUUUCCUGGGAACGACCUGGUUGUUAAAUAUUGUGAGUUAUAAUAUUAAUGAUGAAUAAGUUCGUGUUGAUUAAAGAUGAAAUUGAUAGUUCCAUUGUGUUGGGAUUAUUAGUAUUAAUGGAAAUCGACAUUUAUUUCGAUAAUAAUUGAUGGCUGGAAGUUAUACUUACCAAUCGGGUAAUUAAUCGAAUAAAUUAGCAAUUAAUUGCUAUUAAUUCACAUGUUUAUAACUAUUUGUUCACAUGUGUGUACUAUUGAUUCACAUUCAUGUACUAUUUGGGGAGGUGGUGCAAGAUUGAUAAUACUUGCAUGACUAAGUUAAAAAUAGAGGUAUAGAUGGAGGUACUAUAUUGUAAUUCGUAUAUUCACAUGUAUAGAACUAUUGAUUCACAUGAUUGUACUAUAGAUUCACAUGAUAUACUAUUAGGGGAGGUGGCGCAAGUUUGAUAAUACUUGCAGGACUAAAUUAAAAAUGAAGGAAAAGAUGAAGGUAUUAUACUGUAAAAUUUUGAGCCCCAGAACGUGCAAUUAUCGAAACAAUAUUUUCCUAUAAAUAGAAGCUUAUUCUUCCUUCAUUCUCACCAAUUCACUAAGACUCACAAGAGCAAUUAUAGAGAGAAAAGCUAUAUAGAGAGAAGCUAUAGAGAGAUAGAAGAAGAGCAGUCUGCUACUUCACUACUCGAGUAUCCAGUCUUCUUCUGAGGUAAGGGAUAUUAUUUAUUUCAUAUUCUGAAGAGAUAUUAUUUUUCGUAUUCGUAUGAAUAUUAUUUUCGUUCAAUAUUCAUAAAGAAUAUUAUCUUCGUUCAAUAUUCGUAGGAAUAUUAUCUUCGUUAAAUAUUCGUGGGAAUAUUAUUUUCAUUCAACAGUUGUAAGGGAUGUUAUUUUUGUUCAAUAUUCGCUUGAAAUAAUACUUUCUUCCAUACUCUGUAGUAUGUAAGUAAUAUUAUUUCGUUUCAGAUUUUGAAUUCUAUACUCAUUUUGUUGAAGUUUUACAACAUAUACUCCAUGAAAUUAGUAGAAUAUCCUUGAUAUUUGCGCUUCAUCCAGUAUCUUUUCAUUGAAAUAUUAUCCUGAGCUUUCUUGAUAAUUAUUGAUCUUUUCAUAACGGAAUACUAUUCAUGAGUUACUAUUUACGGGUUACUAUUCACCCGGUUACUAUUCACUCAAAUUUUAUUCACUCAGGUAUUCGGGGCACUUUUCAUGUCAGAGUACUAUUCACGAAUUAUUAUUCAUGGGUUACUAUUCACCCAAUUACUAUUCACCCGAAUAUUAUUCACUUGGGUAUUUGGGGUACUUUUCAUGUCGGGGUACUAUUCCCGAAGUACUAUUCCCAUGGUACUAUUCACUGGGUACUAUUUAUCCAAAAAAUAUAUUUCUUCUCUGUCCAAAUUAUUUUUGGUACAAGAAUAUUAUUUUUAAAUUUUACUCUACAAAGCAGUAUCAUGUUGACAAUUUAGAUAUUUUUAAACUCUGGAUAAAUUUAAAGUCUUUAAUAUUUAUCCUUGAUUUCGUUUGAAUUGAUUUCGUUUGAUUAAUGCUUAUAUCAUUGUCAUCAUCCUCAUGCUUAUAUUGUGAUGAAAGUCAUCUGGCUUACGUGCAUAGAUGGACUGUUGAUUGGUAUGAUUAUGACUAGGGAUCAUUCGGUAUAAUCAUGACCCGUAAUGUUACAAAUGAUGUGGUAAAAGUCCUCAUUGGCCCGUAGUGCAUUGAUGGACAGUUGUUGGUAUACUUAUGACCAGGGAUUAUUCGGUAUAAUCAUGACCAUUGGUGAUUACAUGAUUAUCCUUGGCCCGUAGUGCAAGGAUGAUUCGAUGAUGUGGUUUAUUUAUUAAGCUGAGUCUCAGCGAUAAAUUUGAUGAAAAACUUUUUAAAAUCAUAGAAGAUAGUAGAUAUCAUGCUCUACUUGACUCUUCUAAUGGAUUGCUUGUUCUGUUGCAGUUGUUGAUCUAAAACUUGUUGUCUAUUAUAUUCUAUCAGUUGUUAUAAUGUUGAAGGCUAAGGAUAAUUUAUUUUGUAUUAUCUUAGUCAUAAUAUUUCUUACUGGGCUAGUUAAGCUCACCCUUUUCUUUCAUUGUUCUCUUCAGGAAAUGAGAAUAUAGCUGGAACGAGUCGGGGAAUGGAGUGAUGGUCCAGGAUAAGUGGCUUUAGUAGUCCUCACUAUUCUAUGAAAUAGUGUAAUAAUAAUUGUAAUGAGGACUCCAUUGAGUGUGGAUAUUGUCUAGAAGACAAUAUUCGUGUUAAAACUCCCAGCUUAUGUUUUGUCGUAUUUUACACGACAGUUGAAUAAUUAAGUUUUUAUUUGUAUUUUGUACCAUGUAUUUGGCGACUCAAGAUGUGUGAUGUAUACCUGUUUUGGGGGCGUCACACCUGUUAAGAUUCUGGGUGAUUGAAAAAGUUGAUCAGCACCAAAAUUGCCCUUCUUCUAGUGUCAAUAUUAAUGCCAAUAUUCGUCGUCCACACGCUCAAUCACUAACAACGCAUCCAAUCCUGCAUAGAAACGAAGUCACACGUAGGAAUUUGACCGUCUGGGUUGUCGGGGAAUAGCUCUAGUGUGAGAAUAAGUACAUAAUGAAAUCAACUUAACAAUGAAGGCUUGUAAUUUAGUCACUACAAAAAAAAUAGUUCAUUGCCGACGGGCCAUGCCGUCACCAAUGACCCUCAUUGCCGACGGCACGGUCCGUCUCCCUUCCCAUCGUCGUAUGGGUCGUCGCCCCUGGCUCCCGUCGCUCGCCGUCGGCAAGAGUGUCAUUACCGACGAGGUCAUUGUCGAUGGCUAGCCGUCGGCAAUGAGUUAUUGGCGAUGACGUUGGCGAAGAAUAGACCGUCAGUAAUAUUGUUCCAUGAAAAAUAAAAAACAGUCAUUUCCAACGGCAUAGCCGUUGCCAAUGACCCUCAAAGCCCGUCGCAAAUGAGUUUUUUAGAAUACAAAAAAAAAAAUUGAAAAAUUGCAAAAUACCCUUGUUCAUUUACAUAUACAUAAUUAUACUUGUUAUAAACUAAAGAAAAAUUAUAAAGAAUUCUUCACGAACGCAUAUCAAUAACAAUAAUAACUUUUGCUAUAUCAACCAUCAAAUAUGUAAACAACAUAAUGACUUAUAGAUAAAAGUCGUACAAUGUAAAUACAAAAUGUAAUCAUAAACAAUCAAUAUAGUUAGAUACAUAUACCAUCAACCUAACUAUAUUCUAAACUUUUGUCUGUAUAACUCAAAAGCUGUAUAAAUAUACAUAUAUGAAAGUCAAAAUAUAAUCAUAAUGGGUACUACAACCCAAGAUCAGGAAUGUCGGUAUCACCAACGCCGCCGGUCCCAUCGUCGGUCCCACCUACGAUCCCACCGCCGAUCCCACCUACGGUCCCACCGCCGGUCCCACCUCCGGUCUGACUGCCAGUCCCACCCUCAAUAGUCUCAUUAACAUCAGCCCGGCGGUCAUCACCAUCUCCACCACGGGCAUCACAUGUGCCACAGCCUCCACCCGCCGAAGUCUCAUCAACAAGACCCUACAAUAUUAAAAUAUUAAUAAUGAAUUCGAAAAUAGAGCAUAUUUAAAUUAGUUUUGUUUGUGUUCUUCAAAUGUUGUUGAAUUUUGCAAACUAGGCGAUAACUCGGAUUCCGUAUGUCGGAAUCGAGUCUCGUAAGUUAUAACGCGUGUCUAAUACCUACGCGGUGCUAUGUGUGUGUUUGUGUGUCAUUCGGACGGCCGAUGCAGGUUUUGGGCUGUUUUUCGGCAUUUUGCCUAAGUGUUGUUGAAUUUUGCAAACUGGGCGAUAACUCGGUCUCCGUAUGUCAGAAUCGAGUCCCGUAAGUUGUAACACGUGUCUAAUACCUACGCGGUGCUAUGUGUGUGUUUGAGUGUCAUUCGGACGGCCGAUGCUGGUUUUGGGCUAUUUUUCGGCCUUUUGCCUAAAUGUUGUUGAAUUUUGCAAACUGGGCGAUAACUAGGUCUCCGUAUGUCGGAAUCAAGUCCCGUAAGUUGUAAUUCGUGUCUAAUACCUACGCGGUGCUAUGUGUGUGUUUACGUGUCAUCUGGACGACUGAUAUGAGUUUUGUACGCGGUACUAUGUGUGUGUUUGCGUGUCAUUCGAACGGUCGAUGCGGGUUUUGGGCUAUUUUUUGGCAUUUUGCCUAAGUGUUGUUAAGUUUUACAAACUGGACGAUAACUCGGAUUCCGUAUAUCGGAAUCGAGUCCCGUAAGUUGUAACGCGUGUCUAAUACCUACACGGUGCUAUGUGUAUGUUUGCGUGUCAUUCGAACGGCCAAUGCGGGUUUUGGGCUAUUUUUCGGCCUUUUGCCUAAGUGUUGUUGAGUUUUGCAAACUGGGCGAUAACUCGGAUUCCGUAUGUCGAAAUCGAGUCCCGUAAGUUGUAACGCGUGUCUAAUACCUACGCGGUGCUAUGUGUGUGUUUGCGUGUCAUUCGGACAGCUGAUGCGGGUUUUGGGCUAUUUUUUGGCCUUUUGCCUAAGUGUUAGCGAAUUUUGCAAAUUGGGCGAUAACUCGGUCUCUUUAUGUCGGAAUCGAGUGCCGUAAGUUGUAACGCGUGUCUAAUACCUACGCAGUGCUAUGUGUGUGUUUGCGUGUCAUUCGGACUGCCGAUGCGGGUUUUGGCUAUUUUUCGGCCUUUUGCCUAAGUGUUGAUGAGUUUUGCAAACUGGGCGAUAACUCGGAUUCCGUAUGUCGGAAUCGAGUCCCGUAAGUUGUAAUGCGUGUCUAAUACCUACGCGGUGCUAUGUGUGUGUUUACGUGUUAUUCGAACAGCCGAUGCGGGUUUUGGGCUAUUUUUCGGCCUUUUGCCUAAGUGUUGGCGAAUUUUGCAAACUGGGCGAUAACUUAGUCUCUUAUGUCAGAAUCGAGUCCCGUAAGUUGUAACGCGUGUCUAAUACCUACACGGUGCUAUGUGUGUGUUUGCGUGUCAUUCGGAUGGCCAAUGCAUGUUUUGGGCUAUUUUUCGGCCUUUUGCCUAAGUGUUGUUGAGUUUUACAAACUGGGCGAUAACUCGGAUUCCGUAUGUCGGAAUCGAGUCCCGUAAGUUGUAACGUGUGUCUAAUACCUACGCGGUGCUAUGUGUGUGUUUGCGUGUCAUUCGGACAGGCGAUGCGGGUUCUGGGCUAUUUUUUGGCCUUUUGCCUAAGUGUUGUUGAGUUUUGCAAACUGGGCGAUAACUCGGUCUCCGUAUGUCGGAAUCGAGUCCCGUAAGUGGUAACGUGUGUCUAAUACCUACGCGAUUUUAUGUGUGUGUUUGCGUGUCAUUCGGAUGGCCGAUGCGGAUUUUGGGCUAUUUUUCGGUCUUUUGUCUAAGUGUUGUUGAGUUUUGCAAACUGAGCGAUAACUCGAUCUCCGUAUAUCGGAAUCGAGUACCGUAAGUUGUAAUGUGUGUCUAAUUCCUACGCGAUGCUAUGUGUGUGUUUUUACGUGACAUUCGGACUGCCGAUUCGGGUUUUGGGUUGUUUUCCAUCCAACUUCGAUCAACAGACAUCUUGGACAACUGUCUGCUAUAUAUAUGGAAAGUUAGACAAACACAAUCAAGUCUCCAAGUUAAUGUAUAUGCAAGCUUAUGAGUUUCCUAACUUCAUCUCCCACUCUAACGGGUCAGGCUUCUAUCCCAUUCCCGGAUGUUGAUAAGUGGUAUUUUUACCUAUUUAUUGCAUACCAAUUCAUGCGAAUUAUGCCCAUCUCAAGUACAUUUCAUUGUGUUUUAGUUGCAAUUCACGUUAUUUUGCAUUGCAUUUACUUAAAACUCCUUUUGGUGAAUAAGUGCAGGAAUUGGCUUAAUUUUGGUGAUAUUAGAGGCACGAGGCUAAUGGAUGCGUGAAGGCUAGUCACAAGGCGAGGAUGUGCAUGGCAUGGAUAGACAAUGACGCAUAGAGACCAAGCAAGCAAGAGGAUCAAGCAUGAAAGAGUAGCAGCAGUAGGACAGAACCAGAACCAGAAUCUGCUGAGGACAAGCUUAGACUCGCGCGCCCGCGCGAGCACAUGGAUAAACAAUGACAACCUUCUGCAAGUCGCGCGACCGCGAGGGAAGAGAUGCGCGCCCGCGAGGGAUGAGCGCGCGCCCGCAUGAGAGGUUGGCUAGACUGGAUAUACACACUGCAAGUCUCGCGACCGCGAGACAGAGAAGCUAUAGAGACUAGACUGGAUAUACACACAAUGCUGAUGUUGUAAUUUUGUUUUAUUUUUAAUUCGUAAUUAAAUGAUGUGUAAUGGUUUUUAAAAUGAUUCUGACGGGUGUCAGACAUACACUUGAUAACUUUUACGUAUUUUUCAUCAUAGAAACUAGGGUUUACACCUUGGGAGAGAUUCCAACGUAGAACGGAAGCCAUAACGUCUACUUCUCUACUUCUUCUUGGAAUUCUCUGUCAUCGUGGAUUGUGAUUAUUAUCUAUUGGAUUUCUCUCUCUUACUUCAAUUGUUUGUUUAUUGAUCAUGUUUAGCCUUGAUCCCAAAAUGGCCUUUGGUUCAGUCAUGAACUAAACUCCAUUAUGGGAUUCUAACGGAUUUUAAUAUGUAGUUUGGUUGUACACUUAAUGCUAGAAUUGUUUUGCAUAUCAUAUGGGAUAUUUGUCAUGGUUGUUUUACAUGUAUGAAUGCUUGAUCAUCAUUCGUCUCAGUAUUUGUAUGGAAUUGACAAUGAACAUAUAAAUAUGGAUUGUAGUCAUGAUAACAUGCGAAUAUGGGGCUAUCAUAUAUGGCUUGCGUAUUUUNNNNNNNNNNNNNNNNNNNNNNNNNNNNNNNNNNNNNNNNNNNNNNNNNNNNNNNNNNNNNNNNNNNNNNNNNNNNNNNNNNNNNNNNNNNNNNNNNNNNUGCAUUGAAAAAUGGUUAUAACUCUCUUCGUGCUCUUGGCUAUUUUCCUAUGAUAUGUGAACACUUCUUGCAUGAUCGUGGCGAUUAGAUGAACUAUUAAAUAAAGUUAGGGUCCCAUUGUUUCCAUAUUAUAUUUAUUCCAUUUGUAUCCUUAUUUUCAGUUGGUAAUCAUAAUUAGUUUAAUUCAACAAUUUAGUCAUCAGUCUAAGCAUAUAAGUAUAGUGAGUUAAUUAAUGCAUAAGAGUUUAAAAUUAACAACUUUCUCUAUGGGAUCGAUACUUUACUUACUCUGUAUUACUUGUUGACACAUGUAUGCUUGCAUGAGUUAGAGCUCUUUUAUUAGAACUAUAAAAGGGGCAACAAGUUUUUGGCGCUGUUGCCGAGGAAAGGCGUUAAUUUAGAUAAUUAUCAUUAGUUUAAAGCUAUAUUGUAUGACUUAGAUAACUCUGUUCGUUUCUCAUUUCUAUUUUUAUUUUGUUUUUGGUUACAGGUACUUAUAGAGUUUUAUGCACACACGAUCAUCCAACUCAGAAUUAACACCAGCGCAGGAAAACAUCAACGGGAGAGGUUGGAAAGCUAGCGUGCGAAGAAAUCUACAAGCUCAGUUAGAGAGUACUAUACCGGAUAUGGCGAAAGAACAAAGAAUUGAGCAAAGAGUAGAGCAUCGGGCUCUAAGGGACUAUUCCAUGCCGAACAUAAACGAAUUACAGUCGAGCAUAGUCAGACCGGCUAUAGCAGCCAAUACCUUUGAAAUUAAACUGGGCACUAUUAAGAUGGUGCAGAACUCAGUACAGUUUGGGGGUGCUACUACGGAUGAUUCGAAUGAACACCUAUUGAGCUUCAUCGAGAUCUGCGAUACAUUUAGAUAUAACGGUGUGACGGAGGAUGCCAUCAAACUACGGUUAUUUCCAUUUUCAUUGAGAGAUAAGGCUAGAAGUUGGUUGCACUCUUUGUCGGCAGGGUCAAUCACCACAUGGGAGGACUUAGCACAGAAAUUCUUAGCCAAGUUCUUCCCAAUGGCUAAGACUGCGAAGAUGAGGAUGGCCAUAUCUCAGUUCAAGCAACAACAGGGCGAGUCCUUAUAUGAGGCAUGGGAGAGGUAUAAAGAGAUGCUUAGGAAGUGUCUGCAUCACAGGUUGCCAGAUUGGUUGGUAAUAAAUUCGUUUUACAAUGGUUUGGGAUGGCAGUCGAGACCGAUUGUGGAUGCGGCCGCAGGAGGGGAAUUAUGGGCAAAGACCUAUAAUGAGGCCUAUACACUUAUUGAGACUAUGGAUGCGAAUGAUUAUCAGAAUCCUACAGCUCAGAUGCCACAGCCCAAGGUUGCAGGUGUUUUAGAGGUUGAUGCCAUUACACAGUUAUCGGCACAAAUGGUAGCUAUGGCUAAAAAGAUAGAUACUUUGGCAGACAGUAAAGUGAAAACAGUUGCUUUCGUUUGUGAGAUUUGUGCGGGGUCACACUCCACGGAUCAAUGUGCUAUCAGCUCGGAGUCAGUACAGUAUGUGAGCAACUACAGGAAAGACCAAGGUCAAUUUCAGAAUACAUACCAUCCCAACAACCGCAAUCAUCCGAACUUCAGUUGGUCUAACAACCAAGGACAACAGAAAAAUCAGUUCCAGCCGAACCAACAAUUUCAACCGCAACCAUCGCAGUCAUUGUUUACACCAAAACCACCGUUUCCACCGGGAUUUCCUCAACAACAACAACACCACACUCCAGUUGCACCACAUCCAGAAAAGAAAUCAGAGAUGGAGGAGAUGAUGUUAAAAUACAUGGAAAACACUGAAGUCAUGAUCAAAAGCCAAGCAGUGGCUAUCAAGAAUUUGGAGACUCAGAUGGGGCAAAUGGCGAGCUUGCUUACUAACAGGCCCCAAGGUGCAUUGCCAAGUAACACAGAGACAAAUCCUAGAAGAGACGGGAAGGAGCAGUGUCAAGCAAUCACAUUGCGAUCGGGAAAAUAUUUGACAGGGUCUUGAAGUCACGCGCCUGUGCAUGAUAAUACUAAGGAGGUUGCGCGGCCGCGCGAGGCAGAGCAGGAAACUGAAGAGGAGAAAAAUCUGGAAAAUUCUGCGAUUCAGCAGGAAGAGAAGAAUAAAGCAGGUUCAGAAAAGAAGGUAAAGAGUCCAGUACAACCACUGCAUCCUCAAGUUCCAUAUUCGCAGAGGUUAAUUAAGCAGAAAGAUGACAGACAGUUCAGCAAGUUUCUAGAGGUAUUUAAAAAGAUGCAGAUCAACAUACCUUUCGCAGAGGCAUUGGAACAAAUGCCAAGCUAUGCAAAGUUUAUGAAAGGUAUAUUGUCAAGGAAGAGAAGAUUAGAGGAGUUUGAAAUAGUAGCCUUGACAGAGGAAUGCAGUGCAGUGCUCCAACGCAAACUACCUCCAAAGCUGAAAGAUCCGGGCAGCUUCACAAUUCUGUGCACCAUUGGGAAGAUGAAUUUUAGCAAGUGUUUAUGUGAUCUGGGGGCAAGUAUAAAUUUGAUGCCGUUGUCAGUGUUCAACUAGUUGGGAUUGCCGACUCCAAGACCAACGAACAUAUCGUUAUAAUUAGCUGACAGGUCCAUCACAUACCCACGGGGAAUUGUCGAAGAUGUGUUGGUUAAAGUGGAUAAGUUCAUUUUUUCGGCCGACUUUAUCAUUCUAGAUUUCGAAGAGGAUAUGAGUAUACCGAUCAUACUAGGGAGACCAUUCUUAGCCACUGGCAGGACUUCGAUAGAUGUGCAGAAAGGGGAACUAACUAUGCGUGUACAAGAUCAAGAGGUCACCUUUAACGUCUUCAAGGCAAUAAAGCUCCCAACAGAUGAAGAAGAGUGUUUUCUGGUUGAUCUGGUAGAUUGUAGCCUAAAGGAUUGGGUUCAGAAACAGAGGAAGAAUGAAUCAAAGAUGUGUGUAAUGGGCGAAAGUUCAGAAUUGAAGGUAGAGCCGUUAACGGAAGCCGAAGUAUUAAAUUUCGAGGUGCGGUGGACAAUAAGGAAGGCAUCUCAAUUUUUGAUGUAACGUGAAAAUCCAGAGACAGUCAAGCUAAUUGACUAUAAUUUAACGCUGGAUGGGAGGCAACCCAUUAUUUCUAUCUCCAUUGAUUUUUUUUUAAGUUGUUCAUUUUAGAUUAUUGUAGUUAGUUUCAUCUAAUUCACUUUCACUAGGACAUUGGAAUUUCAUGCCUUAGUACGUAGCAAUACUUGCUUGGCGAAUAUUUGCACAAUAAUAGCAUAAUGUGGCCACUAAUUCAUGCCUUAACCAUAUGCCUUAAUACCUGUGUAGGUACCAUUGUUAGAAAUCAUCACUGAUGAGGAGAAUGAAAUCAAACUUCAGAUUGGCAGAUACCAGGGUCGCGCGGCCCAUGCAGCAUAAACUCGUGCGUCCGCGUGCCAAGCCAAUCUGACCAUCAAACCUUCUGUAAGUCUCGAGCCCGCGUGCCCAGUGUACUACAUUCUCGCGCGGCCGCGCACGGCACCGAAUCCAGAUAGAUCUGAACAUUUUUAAAAUAGAGUCUUGGCUCAUUUGGACUCUCAUUUGCGAUAAUAACAGACGUUGAACUCUCUCACUUGCCAUAACUCACGUCUCUAUCUCUCUAGCAGUUACAGAUUGAAGCCGUAUAUCUCUCCAUCAAAUCUCUACGAAUUCCUCCACGUUCAAAACUCAUCCACAUCUCAUCUCUUCUAUAAAGCUAGUGCUCCCAAUUGGGUUUGCAGACACAAUAGUGAAGGUUAUCAAUUCACAAAUUUCAUUUCUCUCUCGCAGUAAGUUCAUCUGCUAUCUCUAUCAACAAUCUCAGAUGGGUCCAAAGAGAGCACGCCCAUCGCACGCCCAUCUUCAUCCUCCUCUAGCAGUCACGAGGAGGACAUUGUCGACCAUAACAAGUUCUUAUGUUUGGAAGCCCAGUAGGAGUACUAUCGCAUUAUCGCGAAGACAUUCAUCAAGGAAAGAGGUUUUAGACCCGAAGGCCAAGAUGGACAGCUUUGUGCCAUGAUCCACGAACGGGGAUGGGGUGGACUGACUGCCGCGCCCACGCCGAUUCCGAUGAGCAUAGUUCAGGAAUUCUAUGUUAAUGCCAAAGUAACCAUGAACAAUACCUAUAUGGUUCGUGGUGUCGAGGUAGACUACAGACCCUCCGCCAUCCGAAAUGUGCUGAGAAUCACCGCAAGACCACCAACAGGGUCGGCCAAUUGGAUCAUAGGGGCACAUCUAGACACGGACUUGGAGCUUCUCAUCGCUAAGUUGUGCAUGCCAGGCACAAAAUGGACUUACAAAGCUGGCAAGACCCAGCCUCGAAUAUUUCCAGCAGCCGCACUAAAUCAAUACGCCAAGGCAUGGAAUCUAUUCAUUUGUGCCAAGCUAUUGCCUUCAUCGCACCAACAUGAGAUCAUGGCGGAAAGGGCUGUAAUUCUGUGGGGGAUUAUUACUGGCAAGUACAUUGAUGUGGGGUAUCUAAUUCAUCAAAAUAUUGUGAAGUAUCUGAAGGGGACUACCACUGGGAACAUUCCACAUGCUUCAGUGGUAGCCAUGCUAUGUGCACAGCAGGGAUGCAAUUGGGGCAACGAACAAAUGCAAUAUCCAAGUCAAGACAUCACACAUGCCACCAUUGCUAAAUUUGAGGACUGGGCUGGUGGUGAGCCACACCCACGAGGAUUGGGAUUCAUUCUCCGCCCCCACCUUCCCAGAGCCAUCCCAGCAGCCCUCUCAACUUGAUGAGGCAGGUCCAUCCACCCGCGCACACCCAGUUCCUAGCGAUCGACAGCUUCGGAAGUUGGAGCGCAAAGUCAACGCCAUGUAUGACAACUUUGGAACAUUUUCUACGGGACUCACUCUGGCACUGGUCGAAGCCUUCGCACAACAAGGAACAAUGCUAGAAUGGCCGCAGUUUGGAACAGCCGUGCCGUAUCCACCACCAGAUUCACCACCUGAGGAGGGUGGUCAAGCCGAUCAUUAGAGGAGUUUUCUAUACCCUUUGGUUCAAUGGGGACAUUGAAUAUUUUAAGUUUGGGGGUAUUGGGGAUCAUAGAAUAGUAGUUUAGUAGUUUAGUUUUAUUUAAUUGGUGCAUGUUAGUGUAAUUUUUGCAUCUUUAAGUGUUUAGUUAGUUAAAUUUUUUGCAGAAAAUUUUUAAUUUUUAUUCUUUGUUGAUUGUUUUAAUUUAGUUGCAUGUCUUACACAAAUUCUUGCUUAAUAGAAAUUUUUGCCUAGCCAAUGAUGAUAGUGAAUUGUGAAAGAUUUGAGAAUAUUUGGCAUAACAUGGGCUGUGAUAUAAUGUUUUACACGAGGAGAUUCAUGUUGCUGUUUAAAUGCUUUCGGUAUGCACGAACUUGUUCACAAUCACUUGUAGGUGUAAGAUGUGUAUGUUGCAUUGCUUGAUAGAACAUGUAGUUUUAAAAAGAGAAACAUGAGGAAAGUGUUGUAGACUGUAUGAAUCAUUGACGUGCAGAUUUUGGGAAAACAUGGGUAUGCUAUGUAUAAAAAAAAUAAAAAAAAAAUCAAAUAGCAAUAACGUGGCUAGUCUUAAUUCGGGGCCCUGGCUGCUUGAGUAAGUACGCCCGAGGGGAUUGUCUCUACACCUAGCGCCCUAAGGUUUUUCAUGGUCUGGGAGUUGUUGGUUGAAAGCUCGCUAAGGGGCAGCAGUGUUCCUAAUGGGUUGAGACAUUGCACAGUCAUGUGAAAAAAAAAAGAGAAAAAGAAAAGAAAAAUAGCAAUAAACACCGCGGAAAAGUGCAAAAUCGCCCUCGUGAGCAGCAAUAAAGCAAUAAACCCAUUGUUGAACCUUAGUUUGUGUUGAUAUGCUGAAACAGUCUGCGUUACAUGAUUAUACAUGAGUCUUGCUUUAGACUAUAAUUUUCUGUUUGGAGCAGUGUAGCAUAUAUAUUCUUUGCUUAGAUCAAGUUUUUGUGAACAUCACACACACACAGCAUCUCUAUAGUAUUCAUGAAUUAUCUGAGCAUAGGAUAUUAUGUCUAUAGUUUGGUUUGAAACUGUAUUUACGGAUCUAGAUAAUUCACUGAGGUAAUUUGGGCUGAAAUUCUGUUAUGGCUGAUAUUGUGUGAGACUAGUAUGCAUCAUAUAGUAGUUGCAUAGUUUGGUAGUUGUAUUUUCAUUAUUCAUUAGUAUGCAUUGCUUGAGGGCAAGCAACAGUUCAAGUUUGGGGGAAUUUGAUAAGUGGUAUUUUUACCUAUUUAUUGCAUACCAAUUCAUGCGAAUUGUGCCCAUCUCAAGUACAUUUCAUUGUGUUUUAGUUGCAAUUCACGUUAUUUUGCAUUGCAUUUACUUAAAACUCCUUUUGGUGAAUAAGUGCAGGAAUUGGCUUAAUUUUGAUGAUAUUAGAGGCACGAGGCUAAUGGAUGCGUAAAGGCUAGUCACAAGGCGAGGAUGUGAAUGGCAUGGAUGGACAAUGAUGCAUGGAGACCAAGCAAGCAAGAGGAUCAAGCAUGAAAGAGCAGCAGCAGGACAGAACCAGAACCAGAAUCUGCAGAGGACAAGUCGCGCGGCCACGCGGCAGGACAAGCUUAGACUCGCGCACCCGCGCGAGCACAUGGCUAAACAAUGAGAACCUUCUGCAAGUCGCGCGACCGCGAGGGAAGAGAUGCGCGCCCGCGAGGGAUGAGCGUGCGCCCGCGUGAGAGGUCGGCUAGACUGGAUAUACACACUGCAAGUCUCACGGCCGCGAGACAGAGAAGCUAUAGAGGCGCGCAGCCGCGCGCGAUGCUGAUGCUGUAAUUUUGUUUUAUUUUUAAUUCGUAAUUAAAUGAUGUGUAAUGGUUUUUAAAACGAUUCUGACGGGAGUCAGACAUACACUUGAUAACUUUUACGUAUUUUUCAUCAUAGAAACUAGGGUUUACACCUUGGGAGAGAUUCCAACGUAGAAUGGAAGCCAUAACGUCUACUUCUCUACUUCUUCUUGGAAUUCUCUGUCAUCGUGGAUUGUGAUUAUUAUCUAUUGGAUUUCUAUGAGGAUUUAAUAGUUAAUCAUUGAUUUCUAUUCAGCGAUUGGGUUUGAUCGUUCUAUCUCUCUUACUUCAAUUGUUUGUUUAUUGAUCAUGUUUAGCCUUGAUCCCAUAAUGGCCUUUGGUUCAGUCAUGAACUAAACUCCAUUAUGGGAUUCUAACGGAUUUUAAUAUGUAGUUUGGUUGUACACUUAAUGCUAGAAUUGUUUUGCAUAUCAUAUGGGAUAUUUGUCAUGGUUGUUUUACAUGUAUGAAUGCUUGAUCACCAUUCGUCUCAGUAUUUGUAUGGAAUUGACAAUGAACAUAUAAAUAUGGAUUGUAAUCAUGAUAACAUGCGAAUAUGGGGCUAUCAUAUAUGGCUUGCGUAUUUUUUGAACGAGAUAGACAUAUAUUGUUUCACCGUAUGAGCUAGAGUAAGGGCUUGUGCUUAAAAUCAAUAGAAUUGCAAUUGCGCAUAGACAUAUGGUGAUUGUGAUUGUAUUGAUGAUUACAUAGAGUCUAACAUCUGUAGAUGCUGUGUAAGUAGGUUAUAGUGCAUUGAAAAAUGGUUAUAACUCUCUUCGUGCUCUUGGCUAUUUUCCUGUGAUAUGUGAACACUUCUUGCAUGAUCGUGGCGAUUAAAUGAACUAUUAAAUGAAGUUAGGGUCCCAUUGUUUCCAUAUUAUAUUUAUUCCAUUUGUAUCCUUAUUUUCAGUUGGUAAUCAUAAUUAGUUUAAUUCAACAAUUUAGUCAUCAGUCUAAGCAUAUAAGUAUAGUGAGUUAAUUAAUGCAUAAGAGUUUAAAAUUAACAACUGUCUCUGUGGGAUCGAUACUUUACUUACUCUGUAUUACUUGUUGACACAUGUAUGCUUGCAUGAGUUAGAGCUCUUUUAUUAGAACUAUAAAAGGGGCAACAGAUGUGUCGCCUCACUGAUGCCAACAACUUGAACACAUCUUUAAAUUUUUCAGAAAUUUCGGCAGCACCUCCCCCAUGGUCUUCAAGUACACGAAAUAGACUAACACAUCGUAGUCUAAAUAUGCACCCGAAGAACGUCAAGAGAUAUAUACUGACCGAAAAUUCUAAAAAUAUAAAGACGUGCUCAAGUCAUUAAUACCGACCUAAGUGAAAUCGAAACAUACAAGAACAGUCCCAAAACGGGGACUAUUUGAGAUUCACUCCUACUAAGUGAAUCUCAAACGGGUUUCUAAGCUUCCUAAACUAUAUGAAAAUAUGCACGUAUGAAAUUGAACUAUUUCCUAGAACAAAUUAAAAGGAAUACUAUAUUAUUGAGAAUGAAUUAUGAACCCAGGAAUUUUAUGGUUCUUACUCAUAAAAAUUAUUUUUGAUUUUCUUUGACAUAAAAGCUCAAAAUAGUUUCAUAAGAGAAUUGACAUAACAUACUUAUCUAUAUAAGCUAAAAAGAGAUUCAAUCAAUCAGACUAUAACAGGAAUGCUUGAUAGCCACAUAUUUCCCUAAAAUUCAUUUAUCCAAAAUACAACCAAGCAACAUUCACGAAUGCAUUUGUUUGAUGUCAGUCAAACAUGAAACAAAAUAUUUAACUUGUCCUUUAAUUAACACAUUACAUGGAUACAUCCACUUCUUGAAAUCUGCUAACAUUCAUAUAUGUAUCAAAUAUCCCAACAACUUUUGCUUCAAAUAUCCCAAUAACUUUUGCUUGAAAUUUAGAACAAGGAACAAAUUAAAAAACUUCAGUUUCAAAUAUCCCAACAACUUUUGCUUGAGGAAACUUUCAAAUGUAUCACAUAAGUAAACGCACAAAACACUAUUAACCAAAUAAGCACGUCACGAGUUCCUGCAAUUUUUGCCUAAGAUUUACUAUGUUUGAUCAGAGAUAACUUCAUGAUCACUUGCACAGACAAGUAAAAUACAAAGACGUGAGGGUGUGCACUCAUUGACCACACACUCGCUACCAAAGUAGGUAAUUUAGUCGACAUGCCAUCAAUAGAAUGCUUCAUGUUAACUUUUCUUGCUAAAACUAAAAUACAACGGCAGCCUAAAUGUGAAAUUAUGAAUACAGAAAAAAAAAAGAAAAAAAAAAGAAAAGAAAGACAACAUGGGACUCUUAAUCUAGGACCUGACUUCCUUUACACUUUCAAAGUGCAAACCUAAUGAUAAUGUCCCCAAGGACCACAACUAACAGACCAGGCAACUAAUAGAUUAAUUUCUACAUAAACAGUACUAUGCAACUGAAAUGGAAAUGAAAAAUUUACCAAAAUGAAGUGGUAGAAUAAUUGAAAAAUCAAUUGGGGGCGAAAUGAUGAACGAGUUGCAGCAGGGUACAGGCGGCGAACUGGGCGGUGACUGGUCGGCGACUGGCCGGGCGGCGAACUAGGCGGCUGAUAAUUUGGGUGAAAAUGAUGAGCGAGGAACCAAAUUCAAUUGGACAAAUCGAUUGAUUGAGCUAGGUGAGAAUCAAAAGCUCUGAUAUGGUUAGAAUCAAUUGGGACGAAACUUACAAAUCGCAAGGGAAAUAGAAAAUAAGAGAGGGAAUGAAAAUAUAUUCGUUGCCGUCGAACCAGGGUUUAAAAUAACAGACUUAUUCACGACGACAUUGCCGUCGCUAAUGCCACUGUCGAUAUAGACUCAUUCCCGACGGCAGUACCGUCAAUGCUAACAUUAGUGUCGUCGCCUAUGAUAUUUCCCUCCACCGGGAAAGUCUGGCGCCAAAUAAUAAGUACAUUACCGACGGCAGAGAUUGGCGACGGGUAUCCCGUCGAGAGUGACCUUAUUAGCGACAGGGAUAUCACUGUCGGCAAUGGGCCCGUCGCCAAUGACCAUUAUUUUUGUAGUGAGUGCUUAAUGUAAACAUUACUUGUGAAUUAGGUGUAACUUUGUAUUUAUAGUUGAUCACAUCACCUUUAACGUCAUGUCCCCGAAGUGUAAUAGAGUUCCUUAUCAAAGUAACUACCAUACUGGAAUAAGAGUCGAUCUCUUCAAAAUAAAAAGUCAAAUCUAAUCUUGACUCUUUUAAAUUAAAUGCAAUUAGAAAUUACAUAUUCCUCAAAGCCUAAUCCACCGCCCAUAAUAUUCUUCUUCGUGAAAAAAAUCCUCCAUGUGGCCUGGGCGGAACCUUAAAAUCAUGCCCCAACAUUUUACAAACGUAAAAGUUUGGACCAAGAUUAUAGUGCUUUUUUGAUAAGACUGUUGACAACGAGCUCAAGAACUUCGAGUCAAACUUAGAGGUCGAGGACAUAGAAGUCAGAACAAAAUCAUAGAAUUCAAAGACGUAAAGUUUAAUCGCAGUGCUUAAGAUGGAUGUUGUCUUAGAAGAGAAUAAAUGAUUGUAGAGUAUAACACUUUUUAAGUUCAAGUCAAUCAUGCAUACUGCAACUACAACUACAAGUCUAAAUACUCAGAGCUUUCACUGCAAGGACUAUAUGUUGAUACGUGGAGACAAUUGCUUUGCCAUUCUAGACAAUUGGCUGCACGAGCUUUUUGAAAAACAAAUAUUUUUACUGGUAGUUUCAAUGUUCGUGUAUAUAUAAAUCUUGGUGGCUUAAAUAGAAGGCUUUUAAGUGAUUUGAUUAGAUAAAUUGAGGAACUUUUUUACACUGAGUUUUGGAUAAAGAAGAAAAUAAAUAAGAACUUAAAUUAGGAUGGAUUUUUUUUUUAAGUUUUUUUGGUGAAUUGUUUAUGAGGUUAUAUGGGAAAAAACAUUACUUUUAAUAUAUAGAUUACCACUUUAUUUUUAUAGUAAAUCUUCUUGUAUUUCAUGUAUUUGUAUAUAGAGGGUGGUAUAUAGAUAAUAAAAGAUUUCUUCUUAAAAUAUAUUAUCUAAUAAAUAAUAACAUUUUAUAUAUGAUUAAUAGUGAAUCUAAAUAGGUUAAAGAAAAAAGAACUUUAUAAUAAUGUCUUAUUAUGUAAUAAUAUUAAAAUAUAAUUGUUAAUAUAUUAUUAUAUUAAUACUAAUUACAUACUAAUAUUAGGUAAGAAAUUGGUUCCUUUUUAAAAAUAUAGUAUUUAGGUUAUAAUAGAAUCCUACUUAAUUCGGACAAUUAAAUAUUUAUAUUUUGAUAAUAUAAAACAAGUAAGAUGUUCUAUAUAAGAAUAUUUUUUUUCUUAUAAAUACGUUGCGCAAAAUCGUGUUACAAAAAAUGUGUGACCAACAUCAAAAUGACUCCGUUAAUUUAUUAGUCGAUUCAAAAUAAAAUUGUCGUUUGCCUGAUUAUAUAUAUAUAUAUAUAUAUAGAGAGAGAGAGAGAACAAGGAUCAAGUGCAUACCCCUUAUCUUACUCAUUCGUACUCAUCCCCCUUUAGCGACGGACCCGGCGACGGUUUCGGUCAUACAACCGUCGUCUAUAUUUUUAGCGACAUGCAACAUAUAGCGUCGCUAAAAGUAUAUACGACGGUUGUAAGACCAAACCGUCGUCGGGUCCGUCGCUAAAGGGAGGNNNNNNNNNNNNNNNNNNNNNNNNNNNNNNNNNNNNNNNNNNNNNNNNNNNNNNNNNNNNNNNNNNNNNNNNNNNNNNNNNNNNNNNNNNNNNNNNNNNNCGUUGUCUUAAUUUUUAACGACGGACAAUAUAUAGCGACGGACCGAACUGUCGUCCGAUUAUAUAAUAAUCUUUUGGUUACUUAAUAAACAAACACCUACUUAUGUACAUCAUAAAGUUGUAUAAAAUUGCUGACACGUACAAUGUCUUUUUGUAGCACUAUUUUGCUCCUUUUAUUUUAUAUUUUUUACUUAUUUUUUUCAUUUAAGAACUUAUUUUAUUAUAUAUAUUUUAUUAAAAAAUUGAAAACUUAAUCCAUUACAUUUUAAUGUUAGAGAUAUAUUUUAUCCCGGGGGAAAUCUAGGGAAAGGACUAGGAACUAGGGAGAAUUUCGAGAAAUUUAUCUUUUUCAUGCAACACUUUGGGUUAGGGGCAUGGAGGGUAACUAGGAUAUAAACUAGAAAAAACAUACCUUUUUAAUCAACACUUUAGGUUAAUUCUGAAAUUUAUUAACUUCUGUUAAGGAAUAGAUUUAAAUCUUUGACCUUGCACAGUAAAUAAAGUGGCAUCUAUCACCUUUGAUUUCACUAUUUUGUUUUCCAAAAUUUAAAUUUUUUAUAUUUUUUAAUUUAAUCAUUCAAAUUUCACAAAACUUUUAUUUUAUUCUUAAGCUAACUACACUGUCUACACAUGUAGGCCAGACCAAAAAAUGCGUGUUGGGGUUGCUAAUUUUAAAUAAUUGGAAUACUAAAAAUUUAAAUAAUUGGGCCUAGUGUAAAAAUGGAUUCCAAAAGUUUGAGCGUCAGAAUAGGUGAGGUAAUGGAUGGCACUAGCCCGGUAUUUUGUUGCUGCUAUGUAAGGCCAGCCUUAACCAAGAAGCCUAUGCUUCUGCAUGAGCCACAUGAUCAAAACGCUUGCAAAACGCUUGCUUGGAAGUCUUCGAGCCCCACAUGGCCCAAGCCGUGAAUCAAUAAAAUAAGUACAAAAAUAGUGCAACAUAAUAAAUACAUCAUAUUAUUCAAUUCCACAAAAAUAAAUAAAAAACCUUAAAUCAAGGAGAAAUCUUAUCAUACAGAUGUGGUAGUUACUAACCAAAACAAACCCUACAUCUCUCAUCCGCCAUUGUUGGGACCUGCAUUAGGAACAGAUUCAAGAAUUUUAAGCUGAUUUGCGGCCUUCUCUCUGAGAUAUAAUAUCUCAUCAUCUUCAAACUCUUCUUCAUCUUCAUCAAGAUAAUCAGCAUCCUCCUCAGAGAUGUGAGCUUGAAACUUUUGUUGCUGGUUUUUCAAGGCUUAAAGGUCCUUGAACAAGACUUGCUUUUGGGUUUUGUUACUCUUGUCAUCUUUGAUACAGCUAACCUUCUGUUUCUGGUUCUGAUUAGUCUUAGUUGACCAAAGCUCAGCAUGCUUACCAUCACUGGGUUUUAAGCUUUAAGGAGGAUGGCAAGAGACUAUCAUUUACUAAUCCAAGUGCGGUAGUAGAACAGCUUGGUCCAAUUCUAGUUGAACCAGUUUACCUUGAAGCCUAACCAAAACUUUUCGAUCAAUAUUUUUUCUUUUAUUUUUUUCUCCGGACACUUGUAAUGAAAUCUCCUCCUCUGCCGCCUCCUAUCUCCACCCCUUCAUCCUCCUCCUAUUCUUCUGUCGCCUCCUCUCUCCUCCCCUUCAUCUUCCUCCUCUGCCGUCAAUGAAAACUCGAAACCGUUGUCCAAAACGCCAAUAAGAAGAAGGAGAAGAUUCGUUCCACAAGCAAAGAGAGCCUCCGCCGAGCAAAGAGAGCUCCGAUCGGAGGAAGAAACGACGGCAAACCAUCAAAUAUUUAUGACUAUUUGGUUACCCACAAAAACUAAAAUGGUUACCUUUGUGUGAAGGUUUGGCUACCAACUGAAUCUUUUUAUUGAUGUAAGGUAACCGAGAUUGUGUUACAUAAUAUUGAAUAAUGUUUUAUAUUCUUUUUCUUCUUACAUUAAGUAAGAGAAAAACCACACGACUACUCUCUGAUUCCAUCACGGUUUAACAAGAACAAAUACAUGUAACACUUGUAAUUUUUUUGAAUUUUUUUUAUAAUUAUUUGGUUACCCACAAAAACUAAAAUUGUUACCUUUGUAAGAAGGUUUGGCUACCAACUGUACCUUUUUGUUGAUGUAAGGUAGCCGAGAUUGUGUUACACAAUAUUGAAUAAAACCACGCGACUACUCUUUGAUUUCAUCAUAGUUUAACAAGAUAAAGAAAACAAUUACUGAAUUUUUUUUAUGACUAUUUGGUUACCCACAUAAACUAAAAUGGUUACCUUUGUAUGAAGUUUUGGUUACCAACUGCACCAUAUACAAAAUGCACGACUACUCAAGUUUGGCAUGCAAUUCAAAUUUUCACAGCGGAGAGAAACAACCGGGAACAGUUACAUAAUUACAAAAUUGAUUUGUCACAUCAGCAACCCAUUAAAACACCCAACUAAAUUAAAGUGAUACUAAAUAUACUAAUUUUGUAAAUAAAAUAUUGAAAAUGUAUUAAUUCUGUAAAUAAUUUCUAGAUGCACUUUGGUUGUAAUUUUUUCUAAAAAUGUACUAAAAAUUGUAAAUGUUCCAAUCUUAAAUUGGGGUCUUUUUUUUAAACCAUUCAAUACUAAAUUAAAUUAAUAUCUAUAAUUUUUUUUAAAUAGAAUUUCAUUUUUCUUUCUCUUUUAGAUGCAAAAUAAUUGAUCAAACUUUUAUAAUCAAUUUUCUCUAAUAUAUUUCUUUUCAAUUGAUAAAAUCGCUAAUCCACUUAAUCUUUCUUGGAACAUAGUCGAUUUUAAGUAAGAUUUUAUCAAUUUUAAUUUUGAAAAAGUUCUUUCUGCAGAAGCAACUAUUACAGAAAUUGUUAAUAAAAUCUAUAUGUGAUGCAUGCAUUUGAAAAAGAUUGUAGUUUUUAUAUAUAAUUCAGAAUGUCAACCGGAGUGUUAUUUUUUUCUUCUAUUUGUAUAACUUCUCUUAAAAAUUUUAAUUCCGAAAAUAAAUCUAAACCAUCAAUAUCAAUAGAAUUUGUAUAUAUGACAGCAUUUUUGAGAUAAAGAAAUUUAUCAUGCUAACUAUCAUCAUCAAAUUUAUUCUUAUAUAUAAAGACAGCAAAGGCGAUCCUUUCAAUUGAAAAACUCAGCUUCCAAUUGAAAGUUUUACUGAGUCAAAUCUUAAUUAAUUAAGAUUUAACUCGAUGAUAACUCACCCAUAUACAGAAUCGUCGCGAUGUCUUCACCUCCUCUUCCAUCACUCGAUUAAGAAUUUGAUGUGUCUCGGAUUUCCUCCCCUCUUCCUCAUCCUCUUCCUCUGUCAUCGCUUCUCGCUUCAUAUAAAAAAUCGUCUUUGUUUCAUAUAUCUCCCUCCGUAUAUCUCCCACCUCCAUACACACAUACCAAAUCUCUCAUCUAUCUCUGAUUUAUUCUAAAGUUUUUUGUAGAUAAACGAAUCUGAAGUCGUCACCGACUCCUUCUCUUCUUCUCGAUCGACUCCUCUUCUUCAAUCUUUGCCUCAGUUAAUUCUUUAGCAACAGCGGCAACCCCUUUCUCGCGCUCAAGGCUUAUGAUGACGCUGAUCCCAAUAAGCUUUUUCUCAUGGUGAUUAAGGGUCAGAUCUAUGAUGUAUCACAAAGCAGGUAUAUAUCAUUUGUAUUUAGGUUUAAUUAUGUGUAGUUGCUUUCGGUUAGAUGAAUUUUAGUCUAUUUUUGACUUUUUUGGAUUCAGAUAAUGACCUUUUUUGACAUUUGACUGCAAAUUUUGGUGUCAAAUUUCUGGGUGUUAAAAAGGUUUUCCUUUUUUUGGGUGGAGUUGCCUCGGAUCAAAAAUCUUCUGGUGAUUUUAAUUUUUCAAAACUAAAUUAAAAAUCUAAAAGUUCUCAUAUAAAUGAAACUGUUAUGAGUCUUGGAAAAAAAAAAGAAGAAUAAAUUUCAGUCUUCCAUUAGAGAGAAAAAAAUAUCUUGUAUGAUUGUACUUGUAGCUACUGAAAAAAAAUUGGGCGUUUUUAAUAUGCUCUAACAUAUAUGGAUUAUUAAAAUUUGGGGCUCUUCUCAAUUUUGGGGGCCUCAAGUCAUUACUUAAAUGACUUAACAUAUGGGUCAGCCCUGCCCCAAACUAGGCUUGCCACCGUAGUUUUAAGUCUUCUAGGUAGUACGGUCCAAUGUUCAGUCAACAUAAUGCCCUCACUCAAGACACUAGCUUGCGUUACUAAACCCAACAAAUAAAUUAUGGGUCAAAAGUUUUUAAGAGGCGUUUGUUACAAGUUAUCUAAAGUGGUCAUCUUACAUACCAAGUAAUGUAAGUUGGUCAUUUUAUAGAUUAUGUUUGUUAUACUGAUAAUCUUACAUUCCCGGUAAUAAGAUAUCCAGUAAAGUGUCAAGAUUCUCGGUAAUCGGAUAACAAAAUAAUAGAUGGUAAUUGUAAGACCCCAACUUUUAUGAAUAAAGAACUAAUUUUCUCGAAAUAUCUUUUUAAAUAAUAAGGUGUGGAUUUGAUAUAAUGUUAUAGUUGUGGGUAAUAUUUACAAAUUUUGCAAAGUAAGCAAGUUGUUAUAAAAUAUUUGUUUGGUCGGAGAAUAUUCGUUUUAACAGGAAAUAUUCGUACGACGACACAAUCAUUGGUGGACCCCACAACGAAAUUACUGUCGGAGUUAGAAAAUGACAGAAAUAACUUUUAUAAAAAUAACUUUUUAUAAGGAGAAGUCCUUAUCGAAAACCCCCCUCUUUCCUGGGAAUGAUCUGGUUGUUAAUAUUGUGAGUUAUAAUAUUAAUGAUGAAUAAAUUCGUGUUGAUUAAAGAUAAGAAUAAUAAUUAAUGAGUGAAAGAUGUUUGUUCAAUUAUCCUUUUAAAUUGGUAUUGUUCUAUGUGGUUUUGAAAAAUAUGGAAUUCUUUUACAAGGAGUAGCCCUCAUUUACCAAACCUGUAAGACCCCAACUUUUAUGAAUAAAGAUUAAUUUUUCUCAAAAUAUAUUUUUUAAUAUUAUGGUGUGGAUUUGAUAUAAUGUUAUAGUUGUGGGUAAUAUUUAUAAAUUUUGCAAAGUAAGCAAGUUGUUAUAAAAUAUUCGAUUGGUCGGGAAAUAUUCGUUUUAACAGGGAAUAUUUGUACGACAACACAAUCAUUGGUGGACCCCACAACAGAAGUAUUGUCGUAGUUAGAAAAUGACAGAAAUAUCUUUUUAUAAAAAUAACAGCGAAAGUUUUAUCGUUAAACUGUUGAACUACCCGGUAGUAAAAGUACAAUAAUACGCGCAGUUGCAUAGUAGCACACUGUAUUAAUUAUUGAUGCUUACGUGAGACGUCACUCAGUUAUACUCAAUUAUUGCUACAGUAAUUACUGCAUAAUAUCUCUCAUAUUAUUGAUUCAAUUAUUGUCAUAGUAUCAUCUGCAUAAUAUUUAUUAUUAUUAAAUAAAUAAUUGAGACAACAAAGUUAUUCAUAUUAUUAUUUGCAAUAUUGACGAUGUCUAGAAAUUUAUGUCGAGGAGAGGUUUGGUCACCUAAUUGCGCGCUAAUAGGGAGAAAUCCUUAUCAGAAAGCCCCCUCUUUCCUGGGAAUGAUCUGGUUGUUAAAUAUUGUGAGUUAUAAUAUUAAUGAUGAAUAAGUUCAUGUUGAUUAAAGAUGAAAUUGACGUUUUCAUUGUGUUGGGAUUAUUAGUGUUAAUGGAAAUCGACAUUUAUUUCGAUAAUAAUUGAUUUCUGGAGGUUAUAUUGAUCAAUCGGGUAAUUAAUCGGACAAAUGAGCAACUAAUUGCUAUUAAUUCACAUGCUUAUAACUAUUUAUUCACAUGUAUGUACUAUUGAUUCACAUGCAUGUACUAUUAUGGGAGGUGGUGCAAGUUUGAUAAUACUUGUAGGACUAGAUUUAAAAUGAAGAAAAAGAUGAAGGUAUUAAACUGUAGUAUUUCGAGCCCCAAAACGUGCAAUUAUUGAAACUAUAUUUUCCUAUAAAUAGAAGCUCAUUCUUCUUUCAUUCUCACCAAUUCACUAAGACUCACAAGAGCAAUUAUAGAGAGAGAAGCUAUAGAGAGAAAGAAGAAGAGUAUUCUGUUACUUCACUAUUCUAGUAUCCAGUCUUCUUCUAAGGUAAGGGAUAUUAUUUUUGUUCAGUAUUCAAAAGAAUAAUAUUUUCUUCCAUUCUCUGUAGUAUGUGAGUAAUAUUAUUUCUUCUCGGAUUCCUGAUUAUACCCUUAUUUUGUUAAAGCAUUGCUUCUAUACUUCGUGAAAUUAGUAGAAUAUCCUUGAAAUUUGUGUUUCAUCUAGUAUCGUUUCAUAAAGAUAUUUUCUGCACAUUCUUGUUAAAUUUUAAGCUUUUUAUGCCAGAGUAAUGUCCAUGAGUACUAUUCAUUUAUACGGUACUAUUCACAAAUUACUAUUCAUGGGUACUAUUUACAAAGUAUUAUUCAUAAAGUACUAUUCAUGGGUACUAUUCACAAAGUACUAUUCACGAGUACUAUUCACAAAAUACUAUUCAUAGGGUACUAUUCUCGAAGUACUAUUCAUGGGAUACUAUUCACCCGAGUACUAUUCACCCGGAGUACUAUUCAUAACAAAAAAUUGAUUUUUUUUCGGUCCAAAUCAUUUUUGAUACAAUAUCAUUCUUAAAUUUUACUCCACAAAGCAGUAUCAUGUUGGAAAUUUGAACAUUAUUGAAUUCUGGAUAAAUUAAAUUAUAAAUCUUAAAAAAUUUAUCCUUUACUUUCUUUUAAUUGAAUUCUUAUAUCAUUGUCAUCAUCCUCAUGCUUAUAUUGUGAUGAAAGUCAUCUUUGGCUUACGUGCAUAGAUGGACUGUUGAUUGGUAUGAUUAUGACCAAUGAUCAUUCGGUAUAAUCAUAACCCGUAAUGUUACAAAUGAUGUGGUAAAAGUCCUCAUUGAUAGACAGUUUCUAGUAUGAUCAUAACCAUUGGUGAAAACACGAAUAUCCUUGGCCCGUAGUGCAUAGAUAAUUCAUGGUCAUGAUACUAAUGAAUAUCCUUGGCCUGUAGUGCAGGGAUGAUUCGAUAAUGUAGUUUAUUUAUUAAGCUGAGUCUCAGCGAUAAAAUUGAUGAUAAACUUUUUAAAUCAUAGAAAAUAGUAGAUAUCAUGCUCUACUUGUCUCUUCUAAUGGAUUGCUUGUUCCGUUGCAGUUAAACUUGAUGUUUAUUGUAUUUUAUUAGUUUAACACUGUUGAAGGCUAACGAUAAUUUAUUCUGCAUUAUCUUAGUCAUAAUAUUUCUUACUGAGCUAGUUGAGCUCACCCUUUUGCUUUCAUUGUUCUCUUCAGAAAAUGAGAACGUAGCCGGGACUAGUCGGGGAACGGAGUGAUGGUCUGAGAUGGUGGCUAUAGUAGUCCUCACUAUUCUAUGAAAUAGUGUGAUAAUAAAUGUAAUGAGGAGUCCAUUUGAGUUUGGAUAUUGUCUAGAAGAUAAUAUUUGUGUAAAAACUCUCAGCUACGCUUUUGUCGUAUUGUAUAAAAGAAGUUUGUAUUUGAUUUAUGUACUAAGUAUUUGGCGACCCAAGAUGGGUGAUGCAUACCUAUUUUGGGGGCGUCACAAAAAUUGUCAAGAGGCGUAUUUUUAUUUUUGGCAGAUGAAUUUUCCCUUCACAAAGGGGUAAAUUUUGAUUGGCUAAUCAUUUCUUUUCUUCUUAUAUUGGUAUUCCCUUCAAUGAAGGGUAGCCUCUGAUUGGCUAAUCCAUUCCAUUUGCUAGUUACCUUCAAAAGAGGGUACUCCAUCAUUGGUCCUUAUCUCCCACUUUGUUAGUUACAUCCUCAGGAGGGCACUCCCUUAUUGGUGGUCUCAAAUAUAUGUUGAUGAAAUUGCGUCCGAAUAUUUUUAAUGUGGAUCCGUGAUUAUUUUCCUAAAUAGUAUCCUGUCAUUCUCCUAUAAAUAGGAUGCUUAGUUUAAAAUUAAAAAUCACACCAAAAUCAGAGAAUUCUUCUUCUAUAAUAUUGAGCAUAUUUCUUUUGAGUUAAGGAAGCUUUGAGUUUAGAAAACAGUAUAAGUUUUCAUUAAGAAUAUUCCCGCCAUACCAUUCAGAAGUACUCUCCCUUUUAAGGUAAGGGAUAUUAUUUUUGUUCAAUAUUCGUAAGAAAUAAUAUUUUCUUCCAUACUAUGUAGUAUGUAAUUAAUAUUAUUUCAUUUUAAAUUCUGAAUUCUACACUCAUUUUGUUAAGUAUUGCUUCUAUACUCCUUGAAAUUAGUAGAAUAUCCUUAAAAUUUGCGCUUCAUCUAGUAUCGCUUCACAAUAAUAUUUUUCUAAACAUUCUUUUUAAAUUUUGAUCUUUUCAUGUCGGGGUACUAUUAACCGGGUUAUAUUCACGAAGUACUAUUCAUGAGAUACUAUUCACCUGGGGCACUAUUCAUUACAAAAUUAAUUUCUUUUCUGUCCAAAUUAUUUUUGAUACAUGAAUAUUAUUCUUGAAUUUUAUUCCACAAAACAGUUAUCAUGUUGACAAUUUGGGCAUUCUUGAACUCUGGAUAAAUUGAUUUAUAAAUCUUUAAAAUUUAUCAUUGCUCUCACUUAAUGGAAUUUUUAUAUCAUUGUCAUCAUCCACAUGCUUAUAUUGUCAUAAAAGUCAUCUUUGGCUCGUAGUGCAUAGACGGACUGUUGAUUGGUAUGAUUAUGACUAUAUAUUGGUAUAAUCAUGAUCUGUAAUGUUACAUAUGAUGUGGUAAAAGUCCUCAUUGGCCCGUAGUGCAUUGAUGGACAGUUGUUUGACAUGAUCAUGACCACUGGUGAUACUAACGAAUAUCCUUGGCCCGAAGUGCAUAGAUAAUUCGCGGAUGUGAUAAUAAUGAAUAUCAUUGGCCCGUAGUGCAUGGAUGUGAUACUAACGAAUAUCCUUGGCCCGUAAUGCAUGGAUAAUUCGAGGAUGUGGAUUAUUUAUUGAGCUGUGUUACAGCGAUAAAAUACUGAUGAUGAACUUUUAAAUCAUAGAAGAUAGUAGAUAUCAUGCUCUACUUGACUCUUCUAAUGGAUUGCUUGUUCCGCUACAGUUAAAUUUAUUUCACCAAUCGAGUCACAGGUAUCUAACAUAUUCAUACCUAACGAUUUUCCACAAAGUGGUGGUGACGAAACGUAUAACUUGUACAAAUCUUUCCAUUUUCCAAGUCGAUCUGAACGAAUUGUUGUCUAUUGUAUCCUAUCAGUUGUUAUACUGUUGAAGGCUAAGGAUAAAUUAUUCUGCAUUAUCUUAGUCAUAAUAUUAUUUAUUGGGCUAGUUGAGCUCACCCUUUUUCUUCCAUUGUUCUAUUCAGGAAAUGAGAAUAUAGCUGGGACUAGUCAGGGAAUGGAGUGACGGUCCAUAUGGUUGCUAUAGUAGUCCUCACUAUUCUGUGAAAUAGUGUGAUAAUAAUUAUGAUGAGGACUUAAUUUGAGUUUGGAUAUUGUCUACGAGACAAUAUUCGUGUUAAAACUCUUAGUUUACGUUUGUCGUAUUGUAUAAAUUAAUUUUGUAUUUGAAUUAUGUACAAUGUAUUUGGCGACUCAGAAUGGGUUGUGUAUACCUAUUUUGGGGGCGUCACAGUUGGUAUCAAAGCUUAGGGAUAUGAUCUCUGGCUAAGAUUUGAGGCUAGAACUAGGGGGAGAGAUGGGUAAAUCAUUCCUAGUAUGACCUACCUAAGUUUAUUUGUUAUUUAAUUGGUUGGUCAGAAUAUAGGGAUUAUAUGUAGCAUGUCAAUUAACCCUUGUUUUGUGGUAGUGUUUGAAAAUGGCAUCUGAACCUGUUGAGAUAAACAAUGAAGCACAUGAGACCAUUGAGUCAGCACCGAUCAAUAACCAGGAUAUUGUGCAUCAGGAAGGCAACAAUCCUCAUGUAAACAGCAACACCGACCAAAUGAUGAACGACGGGGUGUUUAGGAGCUUUUUGCAAUUCAUGCAACACCAAGCGAGAGAGACUCAUGUUCAAAAUGCAGGUGAUGGUCACCGCUAAGCAAUUCAAGGAGCUGGGACCACUGGAGUUUUUGGGAAAACCAUAACCACUUAAGGCAGAGACGUGGAUUAAAUAGAUCACCAAGAUAUUUGAUGUCUUAGGAUGCUUCGAGGAGCAAAAGGUUCCCUUUGCCACCUUCAUGUUGCGAGAAGAAGAAAAUCAUUGGUGAGAAUUUGUAAAACGUACUCAGCAUGCCGCACUGAAGAUGUCUUGGGAGAAGUUCCAAGAAUUUUUCAACGAAAAGUACUUUCCUGAAGGUAUUCACAUGAAGGAGGUAGAAUUCAUCAAGCUGGAGCAAAACAAUAUGAUCGUGUCGCAGUACGAGGCUUUGUUUGCCGAGUUGUUCCAGUUUGCAUCCCAUUUGGUAGAUAAUGAGGAGUGUAUGAUGCGAAUGUUUCUAAGAAGUUUGAAACGCGAAAUACGUCAAUACAUUAUUUCUCACAAACUUUGCUUGUAUUCAGAUGUUGUGAAUAGGACUCAAUUAUUGGAGCGUGAUAAUGAGUCAACCCAACCAAGAGAUAGCAGCCGCAAAACGAUAAUACCAGUGGUAGUAGUCAUCGAAGCGGUGACAACAAACGUGGAGAAAAUCAACAUGCCAGAAAUGGUUACCACUUCGGUGGUAAUCCUGGCCAAGAUAAUAGAAGAAAUGAGUCAAGUGGAAAUUUUAAUAAGAGAAGGUUCAAUAAUGAUGGAAAGAUAGUAGCACCAUCACCCAUUUUCAAGGAAGGAGAAAGACCAUCGGUAGUUUGCUACAAAUGCGGAGGGGAGGGACAUAUUAGUCCAAACUGUAUGCAGCAACCUAAAGCGUGUUAUAAUUGCGGAAGAGAUGGUCACCUAGCCCAAUUUUAUCAUGUAGUGAAGUUCAGUCCAACUGGGAUAGAAUCACUAAAUGCUGUCCUAGACAAGUUAAAGCUGGUAGACCUCCAAAAAAGUGAGGAACCCAAAUGAAGCUAUCACGGGUAAGAUAAUCAUAAACUCUUGCGAAGUUUAUACCUUAUUUGAUACCGGUUCUACCCAUUCUUUUAUUUCACCUACUUGCACUCAACGUUUAAAUUUGACUCCAGAGAAAUUAGACUUUGACUUAUCUGUUGAAACUCCGUUGAGAGAAACCUUCAUUACAUCCACUGUUUAUAAAUCUUUUUUGAUUCAAAUCGGAACCCCCACGUUACCUGUCGAUCUUAGCUCUUUGAAAAUACUUACAUUUGAUGUGAUUUUAGGGAUUGAUUGGUUAACUACUCAUCAUGCUAAAAUUAAUUAUUUUAGUAAGGUUGUUAGCUUUCAUAUUCCUAACCAACCUAUUAUGCGAAUUCAAGCAACCAAACCACUAAAGUAAAUCACCGUCAUAUCAAGCCAUAAAGCCAUUCGUUUAUUGAAAAACGGAUGUCAAGCUUUCUUAUUCCAUGUCACCGAUUUAAACAAAAAUAUGUCAGAUUUGAAUGAUAUUUCUACUGUUAAUAAAUUUCCUAACAUAUUCCCUGAAGAACUUCCUGGCCUACCCCCAAAGCGUGAAAUCAAAUUUUGUAUUAACCUUGAACCCGGUACAAAACCUAUUUCUAAAACCCCAUAUCGAAUGGCUCCUAUUGAACUUCAGGAGUUAAAAACCCAACUGUAGGAGUUGUUAGACAUCAGUUUCAUUUGUCCUAGUACGUCUCCUUGGGGUGUUCUUGUUCUAUUCGUAAAGAAGAAAGAUGGAAGUAUGCGACUUUGUAUUGACUAUUGGGAGUUAAAUCAUGUCACCGUCAAAAAUAUGUACCCGUUACCUCGCAUUUAUGACCUGUUUGACCAGUUGCAAGGCGCCAAAUUCUUUUCUAAGAUCGAUCUUCAUUCCGGAUAUCAUCAGUUAAAGAUUAAAACUGAUGACAUUCCAAAGACUGCUUUCAGAACUCGGUACGGGCAUUACGAAUUCUUAGUCAUAUCUUUUGGAUUGACAAAUGCUCCUGCUGCCUUUAUGGAUAUGAUGAACCGAGUAUUCAAGAAAUAUUUGGAUCAUUUUGUGGUUGUAUUUGUUGAUGACAUCCUCAUAUACUCCAAAAGCCAUGAAGAUCAUGAGCAACACUUGAGGCUAAUACUCUAAAAGUUUUGUGAAAACAAGCUAUAUGCCAAGUUGAAGAAAUGCGAGUUCUGGCUUGAGGAAUUAGCAUUCCUUGGGCACGAGAUAUCAAAUCACGAAAUAUCUGUUGACCCAGUAAAGAUUGAAGCAAUUCAAAGCUGGGAGCAACCAAAGUCAGUGACCGAAGUACGUAGCUUUCUGGGCUUAAAUGGUUAUUAUCGGAGAUUCGUGGAAGGACUUUCUCGAAUCGCUACUCCAUUAAAUCAGCUGACUCGAAAAGAUACAAAAUUCGGUUGGAGCGAGGAUUGUGAGAAGAGUUUUCAAGAACUCAAGAUGAGACUCAUUUUAGCACCUGUUCUGACAAUACCAUCUGGUUUGGAGGGAUUUGUCAUCUACAGCGAUGCUUCAGGCAGAGGGUUAGGAUGCGUUCUCAUGUAACAUGUGAAAGUCAUAGCCUAUGCUUCACAAUAACUCAAAGAAUAUAAGAGGAAUUAUCCUACUCAUGAUCUAGAGUUGGCAGCUGUCAUUUUCGCACUAAAUAUCUGGAGACAUUACCUGUAUGGGAGAAAGUGGAGAUCUAUAUGGAUCAUAAAAGCCUCAAAUAUUUCUUCACCCAAAAAGAACUCAACAUGCGGCAACAACAUUGGCUCGAGCUAUUGAAAGAUUACGAUCAUACCAUUUAAUACCAUCCUAGAAAAGCGAACGUGGUAGCUAACGCGUUGAGUAAAAGAUCAUAUGCGGGUACGAGUGCGAUAUUGUCAACGCACAGGCCCAUUUUAUAUUACUUACAAAUGAUGGAGAUAGAGUUAAAGACUCCAUGGACCCACGUGAUGAUGUCGAAUAUACGAGUAAAAUCGACUUUAAUUGAUAAAGUUAAAGCUGCUCAAGCUACAGACCUGGAGCUGAUGCGUAUGAAGAAGAAAUUACAAGAAGGUGUUAUUCCGGAAGAAAGAAUCGAUAAAGAAGGAAUACUUCGAGUCAACUCCAGAAUUUGUGUUCUUAACGACUCUGAUUUGAAGUAUAAAAUCAUAAUGGAGGCGCACAACACACUGUUUGUAAUCCAUCCUGGAAAAAAUGUAUCGUGAUCUUCGACAUACAUUUUGGUGGAGCAAUAUGAAGAGAGAGAUCGCGGAUUUUAUCUUAAGGUGUUUAACUUGUCAACGUGUCAAGGCGGAGCAUCAAGUUCCAAAAGUUCCAUUGCAACCACUUGAAAUUCCAGAAUGGAAGUGGGAGCAUAUUACCAUAUAUUUCGUUAUUGGUCUUCUCAAGGUUUCUUAAGGCAUAGAUGCAAUUUGGGUCAUUGUUGAUAGAUUAACCAAGUCUGCUCAUUUCUUACCUAUACGAGAAACUUAUUCACUUGAACGUCUUGCUCGUAUAUACAUAAAUGAAAUUGUAAGACUGCAUGGUAUGCCAGUAUCCAUAGUUUCUGAUCAAGACCCAAGAUUCACUUCACGAUUUUGGGUUAGUUUGCAGAAAGUUAUGGGCACGGAUUUACGAUUUAGUUCGGCAUAUCAUCCUCAGACGGACGGGCAGUCGGAGAGGACUAUUCAAACUCUUGAAGAUCUAUUAAGACUCUGUGUCCUUGACUUCAAAGGGAGUUGAGACAAGUUCUUUCCAUUAGUAAAAUUCUCCUACAACAACAGUUAUCAAGCAAGUAUCAACAUCGCUCCAUUCGAGCUGUUGUAUGGACGCAAGUGUCGUUCUCCAGUAUGCUGGGACGAGGUGGGUGAAGCAACGUUGUUGGGACCAGAAUUGGUAUGCAUGACAACGAAAAAAAUUCAAAUGAUCCGGCAACGUAUAACAACCUCACAAGAUCGACAAAAGAGUUAUGUUGAUCUUCAUCGAAGGGACGUGGAAUUCAAUGUUGGAGAUCAUGUGUUAUUACGUAUUGCUCCAUGCAAAGGAGCUACGAGAUUUGAAAAGAGAGGAAAACUCAAUCCUCGAUUCAUUGGCCCAUUCAAAAUCCUCGAUCGAGUAUAAGCUGUAGCCUAUAGACUCGCCUUACCGCCAAGUAUGUCUCGUAUUCAUAACGUUUUUCACAUAUUUAUGUUGUAAUAACCCGAUAUUUUCAAUAUAAUUAAAUAAAAAAUUUUGUGUAUAAUUUUUUUUUAUUUUAAAGGUGGGAAUAUUUGCAAGGUAAUGUAUAUGUAUAUAUGUGAUAAAUAAAAUUUAUUUAUUACAUGAAUAAUUUCAAAUAAUUUUCUUAGAAUUGUUGACAUUAUAAAUUAUAUUUUUAUAAUUAAUUUGGUAGUAAAAAUAUUUUUAUUAUUUAUUUUCUAUGAAAAUAUAAUUAUUAUAUUAUUUAAUAAUAUAUGGAUUGAUUAUUAGAAUUAUUAUAAUAAUUAUUUUAUCAUAUAAAUUUUAGUUUAGAUUAUUAAGUUAAUUAUUUUAACUUAAUUAAUAAUGCUAUAUAUGCAAGGUACAUAAAUUAGAUAUGGAAUCCAAACCCUAAUUUUAGAUUUUAAACAAGGAAUGAGAAUAAUAAUAUUAUAUUAAUUAUAUUUCAGUGCUAUAAAUAUGUAUUGUGUGUGUGGACUGAUAAUAAUUGGUCAAUUAUGGAGUAUAAUGUCAAAACCCUAGUAUUAAUUUGUUAAACUAUGUAGACACUCGAAAUUUUGUUUUCUUGUUACUAACUAUACAGGAGGACAAAAGCGUCUUUUUCACACUCCAGAGAUAAUCCUGGAGGACCACAACAUCAAUUCUAACCCCAGAGAUAGCUCGAGAAAUUAAUUGCAAAGUCCAGAGUCAACCCCAGGAGGUCAAGCCAACCUCAGAGAUAACCAUGAGGACAUUCAGAGUCAAUAGUAGGCCAAUCUCAGAGAUAACCCUGAGAAAAGACUGCUACAACUGCGCCAACACCGGAGAUAACCCUGGGAGGGGAAAAAUGGUCAUUUUGCCAACUCAACUUCAAAUCAAAUCACAUCAACUCAUUUCAACUCAAAACUUCUUCAAAAGAAGUCCCAAAAGAACCAUAUCUUAACUUCCGAGCGCAAACUACGCAAAACGGCUCAACGGACUGCCUAACGGAAACCCGGAAAUGCCAUUUUGGUCAUGGACCCAUCUUCCUAGAAUCAAAAAAAGGGCAAAUCCUAUGUCAUUGUAUAGAUCUCGGAAAUAGCUUUUCAGAAUGGUAUGGCAUGCCUCAAUCAGAGGCUCGGAUUGAAGUUCUACAAGUUCGAGCGGACAUCAUGUUACACGCGUGCACGUACUUUGAGAUAGCGGGACUCGCAGAGCCGGGGCACCCCGAGCAGCCGCAGGUGCAUCUGCGGCUCCAAGCUCUAUAAAUUGGGGUGGCCAUAUUUACAAGAGAAAAGGCGAGGAAGCCCUGUCAAAUUUUCUCUGUACACACCCUAUAUUGAGUGCUUUCUCAUUUUAAACACUUGUAAGCUCACAUAUAGCUAUAUUUUUACUAGCAGGAGCUGAGUGAUCAUCCACUUAGAGUCAUAGACGUCUUCUUUAGUAGCCCACUGUAAGCCUUCUUACACACUAUAAAGCCUUUCUCUUCAUCUUUGUACACAUUCUUCUUCACAUUAAGAGUUGUGUUGUGUGUGUAUGCCCGGACUCUGGUCUGUGGUUUUCAUUUCUGUUUGUAUAUAUAUAUAUAUAUAUAUAUAUAUAUAUAUAUUUACAUUUCUGUCAGGCCUGGAGUUUACUUCGUGGCCUUUUACUGCUUUAUUUACAUUCCGUCCCGCCUGGAGUUUACUUCGUGGCGAUUUAUCGUUUUUACUGCUUUCUUUACAUUCCGUCCUGCCUGAAGUUUACUUCAUGGUGGUUGAUCGUAUUUAUUGCUUUAUUUAUAUUUCUGAUCCCCCAUGGAGGUGCUUCGUGGUGGUUGAUCAUGUCUCUAGAUAUAUAUUUACCGCUUUUAUAUAUUUACAUUUCUGAUCCCCCAUGGAGGUGCUUCAUGGUGGUUGAUCAUGUCUGUAUAUAUAUAUAUAUUUACAGCUUUUAUAUAUAUAACUGCUUACUGCUUUUCAUAUAAACUGCGGCAUCAUGUGUGCUUAGGAAUCAUGUGAUCACAGAUUCAGUCUACUGAAUCUAGAUUUGGUUCUCGUGAUGGACAUUUUCAGCUGUAAGUAGCUUGUAAAUUAUUCACGGUGUUCGAAUUUCCUUAGAUGACUUUCAUGCCCAUAAGGAGUUCGGUACUGCUAUAUAAUAUUUUCUCGAAGAUGCUUCACAUCUCAAAAAAUAAAAGCAACCAAGCCGAACAUUUAAUAAUAAAAUGGAAGUAUCAAAGGCCUCAAUUACUAUUGAGCACAGGGUUUAAAAACCCUCUUUUACAAAACAUCAUUGCUAUAUCUUGUUUAAAACUGAAUUUUUAUACAAAUUCAAACCCUUUUGUAUAUAGGUACGAACGAGGCCUCGCACUACUUCCAAAUAAAUAGCACAUUGACCCACAGACACACACACAUACACAUUCAUAUAACAGUUUCUUGAAAAGUGGCGGUCACCGUGGUAACACGGAUGUCGGGGGGUGCCUAACACCUUCCCUCCAUAUAAUCAAGCCCCGGAACCUAAAUGAAUCUCGGUUUCACAGACCCGUUUAGCAGUGUCACAUCACUAGGUCAAUGUGCAAACCUUUUCUCGGUUGCGUUGGUGCAACCAUUUAAAAACACCAACUGGCGACUCAUACAGUCAAAUCGUCGACAUAUAAAUGUCGGACCUUUUUUACUUAUUUUUUCAAACAAAUCUCACAUAACAUAAGAACACCAAAGAACAAGAACAGAAAAGGGACAAAUAAAAAUCCUGACGUCGACAGGUUGCGACUCUGCUGGGGACUCCAGUAAGAGGGCUUAAACAACUACUAUAAUCUUUUCAAAACUGUUAUAUGCUUGUGUGUGAAUGUUGCAUUUACAUUUUUGAUGAAUAUGUACGAAUGCAUUUUACUUACUACACUGUAAUAUAUCUAUCUGUGAUAUUAGUGCUUCGCACAUGUCAUCAUUCCCAUAACGGUGAGACACGUUGUAUGUGAAUGUAUGUUGUGUGGUUCCUCCACUAGGAGGCUAUCCUGUCGGUGUUUGAUUACUGGACUCGUAGGGAGACUAAUUCCAACGAGGCUCAGGAAAGGCACCACCAAGAUUCGCUCCAGUUGAAAGACCGGAUUAACUUCCUGUCAAGUAAAUUGUGAUGAUCUGGGAACCUUCAUGCCAAAAAGCCGCGAGAGUAACCUAAGAUAGGUCAGCCUUUGAUAAACCGAACGCGGAGGAAAGUCACUUCAUGCUUUCCAUUUUCAAUUACUUGUAAAGACAAUUACUUGUAAUUUCAUUCCAUGUUAAUCUCUAUGUAAUGGAAAAUAUGAAGAAUAUGUGUACAUGCAUAUUAAGGCUUGACAUGUUAUCAAAUGACACCCAUUUUGCAGGAUAAUAUUCCUAAAAUGGACACAUUAUGAUAGCAUGAAAAUUUUUUAUACAUUCCCUAAGACUAAACUACGUAAGUCUUUUUUGUAGGGAAACAAUUGGUCCCCUUCAAAGUCCAUAAAGGCAUUAAGCCCACAGCCAAACAUGGCUAAAAGUUCCCAGCCUGAUCCUACUCAUGUCUCUCUCGAGGAGUUCGAAAGAUUAAGCUAUCAAAUUAUAGAGUUGGCUGUUAUUCUCAAAGAACUACACCAAUCUACUCAGGGUCGACAAAUACCCAUCCACACAAAAUCCUCUACACAUGGAGGAACCCAGAGCCAAACAAUGCCUACUCAAUCAGAGUCAUUCAUACCAGGGGGAAGUCAGGGUAUUGGCAAAAAGAUUGAAACCCAGAUACCUGAACCUCAUUCCAAUAAAGGAACCAACAAAACCCCUAAAAUCACAAAACUCGGGGAUGAUCGAGAAACUGGGGAUAUAAGAAAGAAAGUCCAACAAAUGGAGGAAACAAUCCGGUCAGUUAAAGGGACUGGAAACUAUGGUAGUGUCACUUAUUAAGAUCUCUGCAUAUUCCCAGGGGCUCGAUAUCCUGACAAAUUCAAAGUCCUAGAGUUUGAAAAGUACAAUGGGGCAGGCGAUCCCUAUAUGCACCUAAAAGUAUAUAUUGGCGAGUUGGGGUCUUAUGCUGAAGAUGAAAGCCUCAGAAUGCAGCUUUUACAAAAGAGUCUCACUGGAGAGGCUAAAGCCUGGUAUGCCCGACUUGACAAUGCCAAAAUCCACAAAUGGGAAGAAUUAGCCCACGCCUUUCUCAAUCAGUACUAUUUUCAGUCACAAAUGGCACCAGAUCGAUAUCAAGUGACUAAAGUCAAAAAACAAAGUACUGAAUCUUUUCGAGAAUAUGCUUAAAGGUUGAGACAUCUAGCAGUGACAGAAAAUGAGAUGGUAAUGACGUUUAUUGAUAUCCAAGAGGCUCCUUACUAUGAGAGGAUCCUAGCAGGCAUAGGAAAGCCAUUCUCGAAAAUGAUUAAACACGACAAAAUGGCAGAGAUGGGUUUAAAGGCAGGCAAGAUUAAAGACUUCACUGCCUUGGAAGCAGUCGCCAAGCAUAUACAGACUGGUAAGUAUGCGAGCGAUCCUAAGGGGGUACCCGAUAAAGGCACUGAAGAUGUAUCCCUUAUUGUACAGGGGCAAGCUAGUAGGCCAACCUACAGUCCCCCCAUUUGGAAAAAACAAGACAAUCUGCCAUUUCAAUAACAGGCUGCAUUUAACCAAUUCCAGGAUAGGAAAAAUUCUGGAUAAUCCGAUUUUCAGGGUUGUCACAAGGCCUCUACACCGAAGUUCAAAUUUGGGUUGUACCCUCCAGGGAUGUCAGCAGUAUUUAGAUCAUCAGUUCAGCCUGGUUGCGAAUCAAAAGUUCAAGGGAAUGGGGCAUAAGAACCCCAACAGUGAAAAGAAACUCUAAAUCGCCUCAGAAAAGGUGAGGAAAGUUUCUACUCCAGACACUUUAAAAUUUGCAUCGACCUAGGACAAUAGACUCCUAAGGACAAAUCUAGGUCAUCACAUCAUGCAUGAUCUGCACAUGUGCAAAAGCGCUACAUCAGCGUACAUCUCCAUCAACAUUUAACAUGCAUCUCCUGUAGAUUUAAAUAUGCGCACAUUAAUUGUCUAGAUUAGAGGAAAAAUUUGUCGUAAACAUCAGUUGGUUGUCAUCAAUCCAGCGUAACAUCAGGCAGAGUCUGGUGAAUUAAGCCAUUGAAUAUUACUUCAUCGAAGGUAUCAGAAGAAUCGGUAUUCUAAACCAUUGGCAUCAAUUCUGCAUAACAUCGGGCCAUCAAAGCUUUGUAUACCACUGUUUGAGUGGGAACCAAAAUAGUUUGGAGAUGUCAGCGUAGAAAACUACCAGCAGGGUAGGCACCGUUGUAAACUACCAGCGUAUGCAUCAGGAAGGUCCGAAGAUUCCAGAAUUUCGUCCCCAACAGAGAUGUAGAAAACAUCCAACUUAUCUUUAUCAAACAAGCAUCAGUAACACCGAUAAAAAGCCAAACCAUUGGAGUCAACACCAGCAUAUGCAUCAACAAUAACCGAUAAAGGUAAAGCGAUUUGCGAUGUGCGAAAUGCGAUUUGCGAUUUGUAAUAUGCGAAAUGCGAUGUGCGAAUUGCGAUUAGCCAAAUGCGAUGUGCGAAGUGUGAAAUGUGAUAUACGACUUACGAACUGCAAUUUGCGAAAGCAUUUUAACAUUCAUUACAUUGUGAUUUGCAUCAUUCAAAAUACCUUGUCAUAUUUCAAGUGUCUAGUAAUCUUUAUCAUGUCCAUUUCAUUGCAUUUCAUGAACAUGAUAAAGAGGGGCAUCUGUAGACACUCAAAAUUUUGUUUUCCUAUUACUAACUAUACAGGAGGACAAAAGCGUCUUUUUCACACUCCAGAGAUAACCCUGGAGGAUCACAACAUCAAUUCUAACCCCGGAGAUAGCCCGAGAAAUCAAUUGCAAAGCCCAGGGUCAACCAUGGGAGGUCAAGCCAACCUCAGAGAUAGCCCUGAGAACAUUCAGAGUCGACAGUAAGCCAAUCUCAGAUAUAACCCUGAGAAAAGACUGCUACAACUGCGCCAAAACCGGAGAUAACCUCGAGAGGGGAAAAAUGGUCAUUUUGCCAACUCAACUUCAACUCAAAUCACAUCAACUCAUUUUAACUCAAAACUUCUUCAAAAGAAGUCCCACAAGAACCAUAUCUUAACUUCCGAGCGCAAACUACGCAAAAUGGCUCAACGGACUGCCUAACGGAAACCCGAAAAUGCCAUUUUGAUCAUGGACCCAUCUUCCUGGAAUAAAAAAAGGACAAAUCCUAUGUCAUUGCAUAGUUCUCGGAAAGAGAUUUCCAGAAUGGUAUGGCACUCCUCAAUUGGAGGCUCAAAUUGAAGUUUUGCAAGUUCGAGCGGACAUCACGUUACACGCGUGCACGUACUUCGAGAUGGCAGGACCCGCGAAGCCCGGGGCACCCUGGGUAGCCGCAAGUGCAUCUGCGGCUGCCACAGGUACACUUGCGGCUCCCAGAUCUAUAAAUAUAGAGCUUGGGGUGGCCAUAUUUACAAGAAAAAAGGCGAGGAAGCCCUGUCAAAUUUGCUCUGUACACACCCUAUAUUGAGUGCUUUCUCAUUUUAAACACUUGUAAGCUCAUAUAGAGCUAUAUUUUUAUCGGCGGGAGCCGAGUGUUCAUCCACUUAAAGUCAUAGAAGUCUUCUUUGAUAGCCCACUGUAAGCCUUCUUACACACUAUAAAGCCUUUCUCUUCAUCUUCGCACACACUCUUCUUCACAUUGAGAGUCGUGUUGUGUGUGUAUGCCCGAACUCUGGUCCGUGGUUUUCAUUUAUGUUUGUAUAUAUAUACUUAUAUAUAUAUAUAUAUAUAUAUAUAUAUAAACAAAUAUACAUUUCUGUCAGGCCUGGAGUUUACUUCGUAGCCUUUUACUGCUUUAUUUACAUUCCGUCUCGCCUCGAGUUUACUUUGUGGCGGUUAAUCGUUUUUACUGGGUUCUUUACAUUCCGUCCUGCCUGGAGUUUACUUCGUGGCGGUUGAUUGCAUUUAUUGCUUUAUUUACAUUUUUGAUCCCCCAUGGAGGUGCUUCGUGGUGGUUGAUCAUAUCUCUAUAUAUAUUUACCGCUUUUAUGUAUUUACAUUUCCGAUCCCCCAUGGAGGUGCUUCGUGGUGGUUGAUCAUGUCUGUAUAUAUAUAUAUAUAUAUAUAUAUAUAUAUAUUUACAGCUUCUAUAUAUAUAAUUGCUUACUGCUUUUCAUAUAAACUGUGGCAUCAUGUAAGCCUAGGAAUCAUGUGAUCACAGAUUCAGUCCACUGAAUCUAGAUUCGGCUCUCGUGAUGGACAUUUUCAGCUGUAAGUAGCUUAUAAAUUAUUCACGAUGUUCGAAUUUCCUUAGAUGGCUUUCAUGCCCACAAGGAGUUCGGCACUGCUAUAUAUUAUUUUCUCGAAGAUGCUUCGCAUCUCAAAAAAUAAAAGCAACCAAGCCGAAUAUUUAAUAAUAAAAUGGAAGUAUCAAAGGCCUUAAUUACUAUUGAGCACAUGGUUUGAAAAACCUCUUUUACAAAACCUCAUUGCUAUAUCUUGUUUAAAACUAAAUUUUUAUACAAAUUCAAACCCUUUGUAUAUAGGUGCGAACGAGGCCUUGCACUACUUCCAAAUAAACAGCACAUUGAGCCACAGACACACACACACAUACACAUUCAUAUAAUAGUUUCUUAAAAAGUGACGGUCACCGUGGUAACACGGAUGUCGAGGGGUGCCUAACACCUUUCCUCUGCAUAAUCAAGCCCCCGAACCCAAAUGAAUCUCGGUUUCACAGACCCGUUUAGUAGUGUCACAUCAUUGGGUCAAUGUGCAAAACUUUUCUCGGUUGUGUUAGUGCAGUAAGUUAAAAAUACCAACUCGUGACUCUUACAGUCAAACUUGCACCACCUCCCCUAAUAGUAAAUCAUGUGAAUCAAUAGUAAAUCAUGUGACUCAAUAGUUCUAGAGAUGUGAAAAUAUGAAUUACAGUAUAUUACCUCCAUCUAUACCUCCAUUUUUAACUUAGUCAUGCAAGUAUUAUCAAUCUUGCACCAACUCCCCUAAUAGUAAAUGAAUGUGAAUCAAUAGUACACACAUGUGAACAAAUAGUUAUAAUCAUGUGAAUUAAUAGCAAUUAAUUGCUCAUUUAUCCGGUUAAUUACCCGAUUGGUCAAUAUAACCUCCAGACAUCAAUUAUUAUCGAAAUAAAUGUCGAUUUCCACUAACACUAAUAAUUCCAACACAAUGGAACUAUCAAUUUCAUCUUUAAUCAACACGAACUUAUUCAUCAUUAAUAUUAUAACUCACAAUAUUUAACAACCAGGUCGUUCCCAGGAAAGAGGGGGCUUUCCGAUAAGGAUUUCUCCUUAUUGGCGCGCAAUUAGGUGACCAAACCUCUCCUUGACAGAACUUCUAGACAUUGUCAUUAUUGCAAAUAAUAAUAUGAAUAACUUUGUCGUCUCAAUUAUUGAUUUAAUAAUAUAACAUAUUAUGUAGAUGAUACUGUGACAAUAAUUAAAUCAAUAAUAUGAGAGAUAUGAUGCAGCAAUUACUGUAGCAAUAAUUGAGUAUAACUGAGUGACUUCUUACGUAAGCAUCAAUAAUCAAUACCGUGUGCUACUACGCAACCACGCGUAUUACUGUACUUUACUACCGGGUAGUUCAACAGUUUUAACGGUAACACUUUCGCUGUUAUUUUUAUAAAAAGAUAAUUCUAUCGUUUUCUUAUUACGACAAUACUUCCGUUGUGGGAUCCACCAAUGAUUGUGCCGUCGUACGAAUAUUCCCUGUUAAAACGAAUAUUCCCCGACCAAUCGAAUAUUAUAUAACAACUUACUUACUUUGCAAAAUUUAUAAAUAUUAACCACAACUAUAACAUUAUAUCAAAUCCACACCAUAAUAUUAAAAAAAAUAUUUUGAGAAAUUUAAAUCUUUAUUCAUAAAAUUUGGGGUUUCACAAUAAACAUGAGGAUGAUGACAAUGAUAUAAGAAUUCAAUUAAAAGAAAGCAGAGGAUAAAUUUUUAAAGAUUUAUAAUUUAAUUUAUCCAGAAUUCAAUAACGUCCAAAUUGUCAACAUGAUACUGCUUUGUGGAGUAAAAUUCAAAAAUAAUAUUGUAUCAAAAAUUAUUUGGACCGAAAAGAAAUUAAUUUUUGUCUUGAAUAGUACCCUGAGUGAAUAGUAAUUGCGUGAAUAGUACCCCAUGAAUAGUACUUCGGGAAUCGUAACCCCGUGAAUAGUAUUCCGGCAUGAAAAAGUUAAAACUUAUCAAGAAUGCUCAGAAUAAUAUUUCCAUGAAAAGAUACUGGAUGAAGCGCAAAUAUCAAGGAUAUUCUACUAAUUUCAUUGAGUAUAGAAGCCAAAAUUUAACAAAAUGAGUGUAGAAUUCUGAAUCUGAAAUAAAAUAAUAUUACUUACAUACUACAGAGUAUGGAAGAAAAUAUUAUUUCUUACGAGUAUUGAACAAAAAUAAUAUCUCUUACCUUAAAAAGGAGAGUAUUCCAACUGGUAUAGCGGGGAUGUUCUUGAAAAAAAACUUAUACUGUUUUUUACGCUAAAAGCUUCCUAAAACUCUAAAGAAAUACGCUCAACAUUAUAGAAGAAGAAUUUUCUGUUUCUGGUGUGAUUUUCAAUUCUAACUAAGCAUCAUAUUUAUAGGAGAAUGGAAGGAUACUAUUUAGAAAAUAAAAUCACAGACUGCACAGUGGAAAGAAAAAAAAAUCAAGGACGAAGAAUUCGACGGCGAAAAUUUUAUUUUGAUUUUACUAUACAGACACUAUGCAAACACUAUGCAUAAUAAAAUAUAAUAUAUUCUAUUUUUUCAUAAAAAAAUAAAACUUAUAAUAAUAUAUAAUAUUAAUUAACUCUAUUCCCCCGGGCAACCUUUCCGCCCCCCAUUCUCAUUACCAAAAUCAAUCCACCAAAGUCAUAUAUAUAUAUAUAUAUAUAUUAUCAUACUCAUAACACACAUCAUUUUGAAAAAUGGGUAAAUGGGGGUCCAUAUAAUAAACAAAAUUUACAACAAAUACUUCAUAAAAAUCCCUUUAGUAUUUUUAAUAACAUUUAUUCAUCAUUAUUAUAACUCGCAAUAUUAACAACCAGAUCGUUCCUAGGAAAGAGGGGGCUUUCCGAUAAGGAUUUCUCCCUAUUGACGCGCAAUUAGGUGACCAAACCUCUCCUUGACAGAACUUUCUAGACAUCGUCAAUUUUGCGAGUAAUAAUAUAAAUAACUUUGUCGUCUCAAUUAUUGAUUUAAUAAUAUAUAAAAAUAUCGACAAUAAUUAAAUCAAAUAACGUGAGAUACUAUGCAGCAAUUAAUGUAGCAACAAUUGAACAAAACUGAGUGACUUCUCACGUAAGCAUCAAUAAUCAAUACCGUGUGCUACUAAGUAGCCACGCGUAUUACUGUACUUUUAUCACCGGGUAUUUCAACAGUUAACGGUAAAACUUUCGCCGUUAUUUUCAUAAAAAGAUAUUUCUGUCGUUUUCUCAUUCCGACAAUAAUUACGUUAUGGGGUCCACCAAGGAUUGUGCUGUCGUACGAAUAUUUCCUGACCAAUCGAAUAUUAUAUAACAACUUGUUUACUUUGCAAAAUUUAUAAAUAUUACCCACAACUAUAACACAAAAUUCAUACCUUAAUAUUCAAAAAUGAUAUUUAUAGAAAAAUUCAUCUUUAUUCAUAAAAGUUGGGGUCUUACACAGACUCGAUACAAAAUUUUGUGAAUGGUCACUCAAGCUAUGCAGAAUGGAAUAUCAGUCGCGGGGAAUCAGCCAGAUAAUCGAUUGACGAACUUUAAAGACUUCAAGGCAGUCGGACCACCAGGAUUUAGAGGAUCAACUGACCCUGUAGAAGUGUUUGUGAUAGCUAGGUUAAUGGAGGGGCAAAAGACAGCUUUUGCCACCUAUAUGAUGAAAGGGGAGGCAAAUUUUUGGUGAGAGACAAAUCAAACUAGAGCUUGAGAAGGGAGUAGUGGUGGUAGGACUGGAAAAAGGAAAGGAGAUAAUUUCAGAAAUACCGAAAAUAGGCCAGGAGGUGGAAAGAAACAGGUUGUGAAAUGUGGGAAUUGCGGAAAGAAUCACUCGGGAAAGUGUCUUAAAGGUAAGUUUGUGUGUUACAAGUGUGGGCAGGAGGGACAUAUCUCUCCCAACUGCCCCAAUCCUAGUAUGAAUAGUGGGUGUUUCAGGUGUGGAUCAACGGAGCAUAAGGUGAAGGACUGUCCAAAAAGGAAAAUGGAGGCAGGGAGUGUGAACACGGGGAAAAGCAGCGGGACUCUAGCGAUAACGGGACCGAAUUCAACCAGUAAAAUCAACUUCAAGAGUCUUCAACAAGACGGUCCAGGAUACCGUUGCAGCUGGUGAUGGAACUCCAGGUAUUAUUCGUAUAACUUUUAUUUUCUUAUACAUGAUUUUCCUAUAUAUAGUAAAUUAUUUUAUAAAGAAAUUUUGAAGAAGGAAUUUGAGUUCUAUUAGAAAUCAAUUUUUCGUUUAAUCAAAUAGACAAGCUUUAUGUUGAAUAGUUAAAGAUCAGUUCGAUCAAAUUUGAUCGAGAUCUACUUGAAAUGAUUGUGUAUGCUAUGCACCCUAGUAUGUAUAUGUUUUAAAACGGUGAUUCCGGGGAUGGAAUCUUUAUAAGGGAGGGUGAAUGUAAUAACCCGAUAUUUUCUAUAUAAUUAAAUCAAAAAUUUUGUGUAUAAUUUUUUUUUAUUUUAAAGAUGGGAAUACGUGCAAUAUAAUGUGUAUGUAUUUAUGUGAUAAAUAAAAUUUAUUUAUUACAUAAAUAAUUUCAAAUAAUUUUCUUAGAAUUGUUGACAUUAUAAAUUAUAUUUUUAUAAUUAAUUUGGUAGUAGAAAUAUUUUUAUUAUUUAUUUUCUAUGAAAAUAUGAUUAUUAUAUUAUUUAAUAAUAUAUAGAUUGAUUAUUAGAAUUAUUAUAAUAAUUAUUUUAUUAUAUAAAUUUUAGUUCAGAUUAUUAAGUUAAUUAUUAUAACUUAAUUAAUAAUGCUAUAUAUGCAAGGUACGUAAAUCAGAUAUGGAAUCCAAACCCUAAUUUUAGAUUUUAAACAAGGAAUGAGAAUAAUAAUAUUAUAUUAAUUAUAUUUCAGUGCUAUAAAUAUGUACUGUGUGUGUGGACUGAUAAUAAUUGGUCAAUUAUGGAGUAUAAUGUCAAAACCCUAGUAUUAAUUUGUUAAACCCUAUUUUAAAAUUUAAAUAGGCGUUCAAGACUGGGUAGUGAUUGUGUUAUAUGAUUUAUGUUGCGUAUUAUAGAAUUUAAUGUUAAUUAGAAAAACCCUAAUUAAUAUUUGGAAACUCUAAUUGUUAGAAACCCUAAUUUCUAAAAUUAGAAACCCUAUUUGUUAUUUAGUAACCCUAAUUAUCAAAUUGGAGCCCUAAUUGCUAAAUUAGCAAUCUUAAUUAUAAUUAGUAAAACCUAAACCUAAUUUUCAAGUCUAUGUAAUUAGGAAACCUAAAUUAAUUUAGAAACCCUAAUUUAUAAUUUAAGAAACUAAAAAUUGUACAUUUUAAAGCAAAUUACAAAAUCCUAGAAAUCCAUAUUUCUUAAAACCUUAGGGUUAAACUAUGACGCCCCCAAAACAGGUAUACAUCACCCAUCUUGGGUCGCCAGAUACAUGGAACAGAACUCAACUACAAACUUCUUUAUAUACAACUGUCGUGCAAAAUACGACAAAACAUAGCUAAGAGUUUAAACACGAAUAUUGCCUUCUAGACAAUAUCCACACUCAAUGGAGUCCUCAUUACAAUUAUUAUCACACUAUUUUAUAAAAAUAGUGAGGACUACUAUAUCCACCAUCUCGGACCAUCACUCUAUUCCCUGACUCAUUCCAGCUAUAUUCUCAUUUCCUGAAGAGAACAGUGAAAGAAAUGGGUGAGCUCAACUAGCCUAGUAAGAAAUAUUAUGACUAAGAUAAUGCAAAAUAAAUUAUCCUUAGCCUUCAACAGGGUUAAACUGAUAAAAUACAAUAAACAUCAAGUUUAACUGCAGCGGAAUAAGCAAUCCAUUAGAAGAGUCAAGUAGAACAUAAUGUCUAUUAUCUCCUCUAGAUUAAAAUUCCAUCGUUAAUAUUUUAUUCCUGUAAUACUCAUCAACAGUUCUUUGUCAUACCCAAGACAAAAAGAACUAUCAUCACCUGUCUUCACCUGAACCACCAAAGAUUAUAGUUAAAUCCAUAAUUCAUUUUUAUAAUCAUGUAAAUAAAUAAUUUCUCCUUGCCACAAAGGCUUAAUAGAACUUUACUCAAUAUCUUUACCCCAAAGGCUAAAGAUAUUCAAAUGUAAUAACAAUGAUCAUACCAAUCAGUUGUCUACCUUUGCACUACGGGUCAAAGAUAUUCAAAUAUAAAACCAAUGGUCAUGAUCAUACCAAUCAAUUGUCUGUCAGUGCACUACGGCCAAAGACAUUCAACUAUUAACUAAUGGUCAUGAUCCUGCNNNNNNNNNNNNNNNNNNNNNNNNNNNNNNNNNNNNNNNNNNNNNNNNNNNNNNNNNNNNNNNNNNNNNNNNNNNNNNNNNNNNNNNNNNNNNNNNNNNNNNNNAUCACAUUAUCGAAUUAACCCUGCACUACGGCCAAGGAUAUUCGUUAGUAUCACCAGUGGUCAUGAUCAUGUCAUACACCUGUCCAUCUUUGCACGUAAGCCAAAGAUAUACAACUAUAAAACCAAUAAUCAACAGUCCAUCUUUGCACGUAAGCCAAAAACCAAUAAUCAAUCGUCCAUCUUUGCACGUAAGCCAAAGAUAUACAAUUAUAAAAUCAAUAAUCAACAGUCCAUCUUUGCACGUAAGCCAAAGAUGACUUUCAUCACAAUAUAAGCAUGAGGAUGAUGACAAUGAUAUAAGCAUUAAUCAAACGAAAUCAAGGAUAAAUAUUAAAGACUUUAAAUUUAUCCAGAGUUUAAAAAUAUCCAAAUUGUCAACAUGAUACUGCUUUAUAGAGUAAAAUUCAAGAAUAAUAUUCAUGUACCAAAAAUAAUUUGGACAGAAAAGAAAUAUAUUUUUUGGGUAAAUAGUUCCUCGUGAAUAGUACCCUGUGAAUAGUACUUUGUGAAUAGUACCUCGUGAAUAGUAUCCUGGCAUAAAAAAUACCCCAAAUACCCGAGUGAAUAAUAUUCGGGUGAAUAGUAAUUUGGGUGAAUAGUAACCUGUGAAUAGUAACUCGUGAAUAGUACUCUGACACGAAAAGUGCCCCGAAUACCGAAUGAAUAAUACUAGACUGAAUAGUAACUGGGUGAAUAGUAACUCGUAAAAAAUACCAAAGAAAAUGAUAUUCCAUGACGAGUACAAAAGAAAUGAUAUCUCAUACGAGUAUAAUAGAAUAUACGAAACUGCAAAUGNNNNNNNNNNNNNNNNNNNNNNNNNNNNNNNNNNNNNNNNNNNNNNNNNNNNNNNNNNNNNNNNNNNNNNNNNNNNNNNNNNNNNNNNNNNNNNNNNNNNNNNNNNNNNNNNNNNNNNNNNNNNNNNNNNNNNNNNNNNNNNNNNNNNNNNNNNNNNNNNNNNNNNNNNNNNNNNNNNNNNNNNNNNNNNNNNNNNNNNNNNNNNNNNNNNNNNNNNNNNNNNNNNNNNNNNNNNNNNNNNNNNNNNNNNNNNNNNNNNNNNNNNNNNNNNNNNNNNNNNNNNNNNNNNNNNNNNNNNNNNNNNNNNNNNNNNNNNNNNNNNNNNNNNNNNNNNNNNNNNNNNNNNNNNNNNNNNNNNNNNNNNNNNNNNNNNNNNNNNNNNNNNNNNNNNNNNNNNNNNNNNNNNNNNNNNNNNNNNNNNNNNNNNNNNNNNNNNNNNNNNNNNNNNNNNNNNNNNNNNNNNNNNNNNNNNNNNNNNNNNNNNNNNNNNNNNNNNNNNNNNNNNNNNNNNNNNNNNNNNNNNNNNNNNNNNNNNNNNNNNNNNNNNNNNNNNNNNNNNNNNNNNNNNNNNNNNNNNNNNNNNNNNNNNNNNNNNNNNNNNNNNNNNNNNNNNNNNNNNNNNNNNNNNNNNNNNNNNNNNNNNNNNNNNNNNNNNNNNNNNNNNNNNNNNNNNNNNNNNNNNNNNNNNNNNNNNNNNNNNNNNNNNNNNNNNNNNNNNNNNNNNNNNNNNNNNNNNNNAUUUUCACUAACACUAAUAAUUCCAACACAAUGGAACUAUCAAUUUCAUCUUUAAUCAACACGAACUUAUUCAUCAUUAAUAUUAUAACUCACAAUAUUUAACAACCAGGUCGUUCUCAGGAAAGAGGGGGCUUUCCAAUAAGGAUUUCUCCCUAUUGGCGCGCAAUUAGAUUAUCUAACCUCUCCUUGACAGAACUUCUAGACAUUGUCAAUAUUGCAAAUAAUAAUAUGAAUAACUUUGUCGUCUCAAUUAUUGAUUUAAUAAUAUAACAUAUUAUGUAGAUGAUACUGUGACAAUAAUUGAAUCAAUAAUAUGAGAGACAUGAUGAAGCAAUUACUGUGGCAAUAAUUGAGUAUAACUGAGUGACUCUCACGUAAGCAUCAAUAAUCAAUACCGUGUGCUACUAUGCAACCACGCGUAUUACUGUACUUUUAUCACUGAUUAUUUUUGACAACCUGUUUACUUUGAAAUUUUUUUACAUAUCACCCUUAAUUUUAACCUUUUAUCAAUUUAACCAUUUACUAAAUAAAAUAAUUAUAAGAAAAUUGAAUACUUUUAUUUCAUAAAAUCUGGGGUCUCACGUAAACCCUAAGGGUCAAACCCUAAGGGUUUGUCAAGAUUACAAUUUGGCCAUUAAAAUUAGAUUGCAAAUGACCUAAAUGCCCCUCUUGCAUUAUAUGAGAUAACUUGUGUAUCUUGCCAUAUUUGUAGUAGGUAACCAACCAAGAUUGCACAUGUGACUAAAUAUAACAAAUAUCAGUCACAAAUUAUCAGCAAAUUCAUUGUAUCCAAGUUAUAUAUAUAGAUUCAAGAGAGAGAAAAGUCACUUAUUAAACCCAUUUGUUCAACUUGCUCUCCACCAAUCCUCUCUCUUUCAAAACCUACGAAAUAUAUUAGUACUUCAGUCCCAAAACAAAGCCCCACUAUCUCCUCUAACAAAUCGGAAGCCUUAGAUUCAAGUUUUGCUCAAAAAGAGGUAUAAAACCUAAUUUAUAAUUUGAUCUCAGUUGCUAUGUUAAAUGUUAUGUGUUUGUGUUUAAACAUGUUAUUUGUAGUAUAUAUAAGUGAUCUGGGUUGAUAGAUGUUAGAUCCAUAACAUCUAUAGGCUCGGAUUUGAAGAUUUCAAAAAUCUGGAAAUUUUAAAAAAAUGGUCUGACAGUCGAAUGUCAGGGCCCAUAGAUCUUUACCUGUUAGUUGAUUGUUGUGUUUUAUGUUGUAGAUCGGUUCUAUGUCAUGUGGACUAUGAUCUCUAACAUCAUGCUUAUAUUAUGUAUAUAUUACAAGUUAUUAAUGGUCAAAGGUCGUUGACCGACCAUGACUUUACAAAUCUGGGUAACCCAGAAUUUUUCCAUAAGUUUGACAACGUUUUUGCAGGGCUCUGAUCUUGCGUAUGUUUGAUAUUUAGGUCAUGUUGUUGUUUUAAUGUUGUAGUAUGCUACAUGGACUACAUAUCCAUGUCAUUAUAUCACUCAGAUCUUGCAUAGGAUCAUAGAUAAUCGUGGUCAAACAAUGGUUGACCAACUUGCCGGAUGAAGAUUCUGGGUAACCCAGAAAUCUUCAAAGGCAGCUUCUGACAUGCUUUUGACCGACCUAGAUCUCAUUGUUAUGAUGUUGUUAGAUUGAUUUGAUGAUAUGUUGUUGUUCCUUGACACAAGUACUAUAAAAUAGAACCUUUAGUUCACACAAACAAGCUAUAGAAUGCAAGUUAUUAGGAUCUAAAAGUAUGAACAUGAACUGUUCUUCAUUUCUGGGUAACCUAGAAAUGAAGAACAGCCUCUGACAACAACUUUGAGAGAUUAUAUCUCUUUGUUAUGAUCUAGUAUGGCCAUGAAAUCAGUUGGUGGUUAUAGUAUUACAUGAAUACUACAUUCUUAAUACUUUAGCAGCCCAGAAAAUGUAAGGAUCAAAGAAUUACACUUGGUCAAACCUAGUACCUAGUAAACUGUCUAUGAAGGCUCAAGAACACCAAAGGCUACACUUUAUGUCGCUAAAGGCUAUAGCGACAGUUUAUUUAAUUUUAUUUAAUUUAUUAUCUAAAAAUUAAUUUAAAAUAGUAAUUAAUUUAUAAAAAUUCCAAAAAUAGUUUUAAAAAUUAUUUUAAGUUAUAAAAACUAACUUUUAAUAAUUUGGCAUAUUUUUCAUAAAUAUUAGUAUUUAUUUAAAUAUUAUUGAUAUUUAAUUUAUUUAAUAAAUAUAUUAAAUAAAUUAAUUAAAAAUGAUUUUAUUAUAUUAAAAAUCAUUUUAAAUGAUAAUAAGGUAUUUAAAAAUAUUUUAAGUUAUAAAAUGUGACGCCCCCAAAAUAGAUAUACAUCACCCAUUCUGAGUAGCCAAAUACAUGGUACAUAAUACAAAUACACACUUAAAUAUACAACAUAAGCUGUGAGUUUUAAUACAAAUAUUGUCUUCUAGACAGUAUUCAAACUAAAAAUAAGUCCUCAAUAUAUUUAUUAUAACUAUUUCACAGAAUAGUGAUGACUACUAAUACAAACAUCUUGACCGUCACUCUGUUCCCCCGACUAGUCCCAGCUAUAUUCUCAUUUCCUGAAGAGAACAAUGAAACCAAAGGGUGAGCUCAACUAGCCCAGUAAGAAAUAUUAUGACUAAGAUAAUGCAAUAUAAAUUAUCGUUAGCCUUCAACAGUGUUAAACUAAUAAAAUACAAUAGACAUCAAGUUUAACUGCAGCGGAACAAGCAAUCCAUUAGAAGAGUCAAGUAGAACAUGAAAUCUAAUAUCUUCUAUGAUUUAAAAAGUUUAUCAAUAGUUUUAUCGCUGAGACUCAGCUUAAUAAAUAAUCCACAUCAUCGAAUCAUCCCUGCACUACGGCCAAGGAUAUUCAUUAGUAUCACGACCACAAAUUAUCCAUGCACUACGGGCUAAGGAUAUUCGUGUUUUUAUCAAUGGUCAUGAUCAUGCCAACAACUAUCCAUCAAUGCACUACGGGCCAAGAAGGACUUUUACCACAUCAUUUAUAAUAUUAUGGUCAUGAUUAUACCGAAUAGUCCCUGGUCAUAAUCAUACCAAGUCCAUCUAUGCAUUACGGGCCACAGAUGACUUUCAUCAUAAUAUAAACAUGAGGAUGAUGACAAUGAUAUAAGAAUUCAAUUAAAAGAAAGCAAAAGAUAAAUUUUUAAAGAUUUAUAAUUUAAUUUAUCCAGAAUUCAAUAAUAUCCUAAUUGUCAACAUGAUACUGCUUUGUGGAGUAAAAUUCAAGAAUAAUAUUGUAUCAAAAAUGAUUUUGACCGAAAAAAAAUUAAUUUUUGUCAUGAAUAAUACCUCGGGUGAAUAAUAACUGCGUGAAUAGUACCUCGUGAAUAGCACUUCAGGAAUUAUAAUCCCGUGAAUAGUAUUCCGGCAUGAGAAAGUUAAAACUUAUCAAGAAUGCUCAGAAUAAUAUUUCCAUGAAAAGAUACUGGAUGAAGCACAAAUAUCAAGGAUAUUCUACUAAUUUCAUAGAGUAUAAAAGCCAAAACUUAACAAAAUGAGAGUAGAAUUCUGAAUCUGAAAUGAAAUAAUAUUACUUACAUACUACAGAGUAUGGAAGAAAAUAUUAUUUCUUACGAGUAUUAAACAAAAAUAAUAUCCCUUACAUUAAAAACGAGAGUAUUCCAACUGGUAUAGCGGGGAUAUUCUUGAAGAAUACUUAUACUGUUACGCUCAAAGCUUCCUAAAACUCUAAAGAAAUACGCUCAAUAUUAUAGAAGAAGAAUGUUCUGAUUUUGGUGUGAUUUUCAAUUCUAACUAAGCAUCCUAUUUAUAGGAGAAUGGAAGGAUACUAUUUAGAAAAUAAAAUCACGGACCGCACAGUGGAAAGAAAAAAAAUCACGGACGAAGAAUUCGACGGAAAAAUUUUUAUUUUGAUUUUACUAUGCAGACACUAUGCAAAUACUAUGCAUAAUAAAAUAUAAUAUAUUCUAUUUUUUCAUAAAAAAACAAAACUUAUAAUAAUAUAUAAUAUUAAUUUACCCUCUUCCCCCGGGCAACCUUUCCGCCCCCCAUUCUCAUUACCAAAAUUAAUCCACCAGAGUUAUAUAUAUAUAUAUAUAUAUAUAUNNNNNNNNNNNNNNNNNNNNNNNNNNNNNNNNNNNNNNNNNNNNNNNNNNNNNNNNNNNNNNNNNNNNNNNNNNNNNNNNNNNNNNNNNNNNNNNNNNNNUCGCAGUAUUAACAACCAGAUCGUUCCUAGGAAAGAGGGGGCUUUCUGAUAAGAAUUUCUCCCAAUUAGCGCGCAAUUAGGUGACCAAAUCUCUCAUUGAUAGAACUUUCUAGUCAUCGUCAAUAUUGCAAGUAAUAAUAUGAAUAACUUUGUCGUCUCAAUUAUUGAUUUAAUAAUAUAUAAAAACAUCGACAAUAAUUGAAUCAAAUAACGUGAGAUACUAUGCAACAAUUAUUGUAGCAAUAAUUGAACAAAACUGAGUGACUUCUCACAUAAGCGUCAAUAAUCAAUACCGUGUGCUACUAUUCAACCACGCGUAUUACUGUACUUUUAUCACCGGGUAUUUCAACAGUUAACGGUAAAACUUUCGCCGUUAUUUUCAUAAAAAGAUAUUUCUGUCGUUUUCUCAUUCCAACAAUAAUUACGUUGUGGGCUCCACCAAUGAUUGUGCCAUCGUACGAAUAUUCCAUGUUUAAAACGAAUAUUCCUCGACCAAUCGAAUAUUAUAUAACAACUUGCUUACUUUGUAAAAUUUAUAAAUAUUACCCACAACUAUAACAUUAUAACAAAUUCACACCUUAAUAUUCAAAAAUGAUAUUUAUAGAAAAAUUUAUCUUUAUUCAUAAAAGUUGGGGUCUUACAUAAAAUAUAACUUUUAAUAUUUUAAAGAAAAUUUCAUUAAUUAUUUAAUAUUAAUGAUAUUAGAAUUAUUUAAUAAUUAUAUUAAAUAAAUUAGUUUAAAAAUGAUUUUAAUAUUAUAAAAAUUAUUUUAAAUGAAAAUAAAGUGUUUAAAAAUAUUUUAAGUUAUAAAAUAUAACUUUUAAUAUUUAAAGGAUAAUUUCAUUAAUAAUUUAAUAUUAAUGAUAUUAGAUUUAUUUAUUAAUUAUAUUAAAUAAAUAAUUUAAAAAUGAUUUUAUUUAUUUAAAAAUCAUUUAAAAAAGAUAUAAAUGAAUUAAAAAUAUUUUAAGUUAUAAUAAAUGACUUUUAAUAUUUUGAUAAAUAAUAUAUUAAUAUUUAAAUAUUAAUUAUAAUUAUUUAAAAAUGAUUUUAAUUAUUUUAAAAAUCAUUUAAGGGUAAUAUUAAUACUUUAAAAAUAUUCUAAGUUAAUAUAAAAAACUUUAAUAUUUUGGCAAUGGUUUCAUUAAUAUUUUAAUAUUAAUUAAAUAUUAAUGAUAAUAGAAUUACUUAAUAUUUAAAUCAUUUAAUAAUGAUUCCGAUGUUUGAAAAAUCAUGAUAAAUUAUAAUAAUUAAUUAAAAAUUAUUAUAAGUCAUUUAAAAAUAAUAUGACUCAUAUUUAAGUUAUUUAAAUGGAUAUUGAACUACAGGAUAGAGUCUUAGACCUGAUAAUUACCCGAUAAAGUCGUCGGUACACCGACAUGUUUCAGAAAUUCAUCUGGACUUAUAUAAAUUGACUAUAUACGUGUUUGUUUGUGAUCCAAUGACUGCUAAACAUAUGUGACAAUGUGGUUAGGUUAUAUGCUGACUGCAAAUAGCAGUACUAAGUGAUAUGUUAUGUUAUUCUAAUCGAUAAAAUGAUCUUAUUAAUGAUAGGUCUUGAUAUAAAAGAUAAAACUAAGUUGUAUAAGCAGCAGAUCAGGAAAGUAUCCUAUCUUUGCAUUUACUUUAUGCAAUGGACAUGCGUAAGCAAAUAUCGGAACUAUUCUUUUUCAUUGUUCAAAUAUCUUUACCUUUGUAUAUACUUAUGCAUUGAUUCUGUAUAAGUAAGUUAUUAGAUUAUAAUAUGUUGUACAAGUUCCUUGAUUCUGUUAUUAUAGAUCAAGAUAUAUAUUCUGUUCGUUAAUUUCUAAGCGUGGUUAUACAAGUGACCUCACUUGGAUAAUUAUGUUAUUUAAUCACAUGUUGAUAUAUAGCUAUUGAUUUCUGGUAUGUAUACAUUAAUUAAAAUCCGUCUAAGCUAUUUGACCCAGCUAGACACAGAUUUAGAAAUAUCGUUGAACAUGAUAGCACUUUAUUGUAUCCAAUCAAAUUGUUUUGGUUCGGAUUCCCGACUAAGUAUGAACAUCUCGAACAUGGGAAAAUUUUUGUGCGCCUAAGGCGGAUAAGAUGAACGAAAAUAUCAUUCUUAUAUGUAGUAUUGAUCAAUACAGGGCACAUUGGGAUGAUCACCCUCGUGCCUGUAAGUUAUGAUGGUUUGCGGAUGAAGUUCUGCUAAAUCUUAGCAAAAAUUAAAAACAAUGUUCAUAGUCUGUCGAAUGAUCUUCAUUUAUAGUCAGUACAUAAUUUCAAAAAUUUGAUAUAGAAUUGAUAUGUUGUUAUUAUUGGUUCAGCUUACUUCACAACUGUUAAUUCGUUGUAAAAGUGUCAUUCAAAGAAAAUAUUUAAUCCUUUCAGCUAAUAUUUAUUGUUGCUAUUACUUGUUGGGCAAUCAAAUGCUCAUUCUUGCUUUAAAUUUAAAUGUUUUCAGCUAAGCGUGAUCAACCUGAAGGUUCAGGCGAGAACAAGGGAAAAGAAAAGGAAACGGAAUAAGUUUAAUGGUAUAUUUUGUAAUAGUUAGACAUUAUUAAGACAAUGGUAUUUAUUAUCUAUCAUGUAAUGAAUGUUUAAAGGUUGCGUACUUUGGAUUAGACUUUGAUAUAUGUAUAUUAAGUUUGAUAUUUAUGUUAUUGUUAUUAUUAUUAGUAUUAUUCCGCUCAUAGAAAUGGUAUUGUGAAGCACCGAGUUCGGGUUUCAAGUUCUUGAAUUUGGGGGCGUCAAAUAUGUUACAUAAAUAUGUGAAAGACCCGAACCACACUAUUGAAUUAGAACUAGACGAGAUAGCAGAAUAUUUAACAUAUGAAGAGUUACCUGUUAAAAUUUUGGAUAAAAGGAACAUAUUCUACGCUCCAAAGUUAUACCUCAUGUCAAAGUUUUGUGGAGAACCGACGAUAUUGAGGUAAUGACCUGGGAGUUAGAAUAUCAAAUGAAAUCAAGGUAUCCUCACCUCUUCGAUAUACCAGGUACAUACACCAAUUUCGAGGACCAAAUUUCAUAAGAAGGAGAGGUUGUAAGACCCCAACUUUUAUGAAUAAAAAUUUAAUUUUCUCGAAAUAUCUUUUUGAAUAAUAAGGUGUGGAUUUGAUAUAAUGUUAUAGUUGUGGGUAAUAUUAACAAAUUUUGUAAAGUAAGAAAAUUGUUAUAAAAUAUUCGUUUGGUCAGGGAAUAUUUGUUUUAUCAAGGAAUAUUCGUACGACGGCACAAUCAUUGGUGGAACCCACAACAGAAUUACUUUCGGAGUUAGAAAACUACAGAAAUAACUUUUUUAUAAAAAUAACGGCAAAAGUUUUACCAUUAACUAUUGAAAUACCCGGUGAUAAAAGUAAAAUAAUACGCGUGGUUACAUAGUAGCACACGGUAUUGUACAAUAUCUUUGAUUAUUGAUGCUUACGUGAGAAGUCACUCAGUUUUAUUCAAUUAUUGCCACAGUAGUUGAUGCAUAGUAUCUCAUAUUAUUGAUUCAAUUAUUGUCACAGUAUCAUCUGCAUAAUAUUUUAUAUUAUUAAAUCAAUAAUUGAGAUGACAAAGUUAUUCAUAUUAUUAUUUAUAUUAUUGACAAUGUCUAGAAAGUUCUGUCGAGGAAAUAAUUUUGGUCACCUAAUUGUACGCCAAUAAAGAGAAGUCCUUAUCGGAAAGCCACUUCUUUAUUGGGAAUUAUUUGAUUGUUAAUAUUGUGAGUUAUAAUAUUAAUGAUAAAUAAGUUCGUGUUGAUUAAAGAUAUGAAUAAUAAUCUAUGAGUGGAAGAUGUUUGUUCAAUUAUCCUUUUAAAUUGGUAUUUUUCUAUUUGGUUUUGAAAAAUAUGGAAUUCUUUUACAUGGAGUAGCCCUCAUUUACCAAAACUGUCAAGAGGCGUAUUUUUAUUUUUGGCAGAUGAAUUUUCCCUUCACAAAGGGGUAAAUUUUGAUUGGCUAAUCAUUUUUUUUCUUAUAUUAGUAUUCCCUUUAAUGAAGGGUAGCCUCUGAUUGGCUAAUCCAUUCUAUUUGCUAGUUACCUUCAAAAGAGGGUACUCCCUCAUUGGUCCUUAUCUCCCACUUUGUUAGUUACCUCCUCAAGAGGGCCCUCCCUUAUUGGUGGUCUCAAAUAUUCGCUAAUAAAAUUGUGUCCGAAUAUUUUUACUGUGCGUCCGUGAUUAUUUUCCUAAAUAGUAUCAUGUAAUUCUCCUAUAAAUAGGAUGCUUAGUUUAGAAUUGAAAAUCACACCAGAAUCAGAGAAUUAUUCUUCUAUAAUAUUGAGCGUAUUUCUUUUGAGUUAAGGAAGUUUAGAGUGUAGAAAACAGUAUAAGUUUUCUUCAAGAAUAUCCCCGCUAUACCAUUCAGAAGUACUCUCCUUUUUAAGGUAAGGGAUAUUAUUUUUGUUUAAUAUUCGCAAGAAAUAAUAUUUUCUUCCAUACUCUGUAGUAUGUAAGUAAUAUUAUUUCGUUUCAAAUUCUGAAUUCUACAUUCAUUUUGUUAAGUAUUGCUUCUAUACUCCUUGAAAUUAGUAGAAUAUCCUUGAAAUUUGCGCUUCAUUUAGUAUCGCUUCAUAAGAAUAUUUUUUUAAACAUUCUUGUUAAAUUUUGAUCUUUUCAUGUCGGGGUACUAUUCAUAAAGUACUAUUCACAGGGUACUAUUCACUCAGGUUCUAUUCACCCGGAGCACUAUUUAUGACAAAAUUGAUUUUUUUUCCUAUUCAAAUUAUUUUUGAUACAUGGAUAUUAUUCUUGAAUUUUACUCUACAAAGAAGUUAUCAUGUUGAUAAUUUAGGCAUUCUUGAACUUUGGAUAAAUUGAUUUAUAAAUCUUUAAAAUUUAUCCUUGCUCUCACUUAAUUGAAUUUUUAUAUCAUUGUCAUCAUCCUCAUGCUUAUAUUAUGAUAAAAGUCAUCUUUGGUCCGUAGUGCAUAGAUGGAUUGUUGAUUGGUAUGAUUAUGACUAUGUAUCAGUAUAAUCAUGACCUGUAAUAUUACAAAUAAUUUGGUAAAAGUCCUCAUUGGCCCGUAGUGCAUUGAUGGACAGUUGUUUGGCAUGAUCAUGACCACUGGUGAUACUAACGAAUAUCCUUGGCUUGUAGUGCAUGGAUAAUUCGUGGAUGUGAUAAUAAUGAAUAUCCUUGGCCUGUAGUACAUGGAUAAUUCAUGGAUGUGAUACUAACGAAUAUCAUCGGCCCGUAAUGCAUGGAUAAUUCAUGGAUGUGAUACUAACGAAUAUCCUUGACCCGUAGUGCAUGGAUAAUUUGAGGAUGUGGAUUAUUUAUUGAUUUGUGUUACAACGAUAAAAUAUUGAUGAUGAACUUUUAAAUCAUAGAAGAUAGUAGAUAUCAUGCUCUACUUGAGUCUUCUAAUGGAUUGCUUGUUCCGCUGGAGUUAAAUUUGUUGUCUAUUGUAUUCUAUCAGCUGUUAUAUUGUUGAAGGCUAAGGAUAAAUUAUUCUUCAUUAUCUUAGUCAUAAUAUUAUUUACUGGGCUAGUUGAGCUCACCCUUUUUCUUUUAUUGUUCUAUUCAGGAAAUGAGAAUAUAGCUGGGACUAGUCGGGGAAUGGAGUGACGGUCCAUAUGGUUGCUAUAGUAAUCCUCACUAUUCUGUGAAAUAGUGUGAUAAUAAUUGUAAUGAGGACUUAAUUUGAGUUUGGAUAUUUUCUACAAGACAAUAUUCGUGUUAAAACUCUCAGUUUACGUUUGUCGUAUUGUAUAAAUUAAGUUUGUAUUUGAAUUAUGUACCAUAUAUUUGGCGAUUCAGAAUGGGUUGUGUAUACCUACUUUGGGGGCGUCACAGUAAUAUAAGAUUACUACAUUUAGACACCCAAAUUUGUGCAUUUUUCCUUUAAUAGUGAUAGGAAGAUAAAAGCGUCAUUUCACCCCAAUGCUAAGGUUUCUAAGCAAAGAUUGCAAGGCUCAGGACAAAUAUUUGUAGCCCCCACAUUAACCUCUAAGCAACAGACUACACAAGGCAAGACGAGUGACUAGUAGAAGUUUUUGGAAGGAGGGUUCUUCCCCCUUUUUCCCUAUCUUACAGAUCUGAACUUGAUCAAACUUGAUGUCUUUGUCUAGCUAUCGAAAAGAGUUUUUCGGAUUGGUAUGGCAUUAUUCCUAACUCUUCCCAGUUUGAAAGUUAUGGACGUUUCAACACGAAGCAGUAAAAAUCAACGUCGCUACACAAAAAUUAAGGCAGGUGAGCCCCACUGUGACGCCCCCAAAUUUAGAUACAUGUACCUCGAUUCUGAUGUUUCGUGAUUCAACUCAUAUAUCAUACUAUUAACAACUCAUAGCGAAAUAAUAAAAAUAAUUACAUUGAUAUAAUAUAAUUAUUCACGUCCCAACUCUCGAAACCGUUACUAAUACAUAACACCACUUAGGGGGAGGGGUUUGAUAAAAAGUGAAUGAAAUGGUUCUAAAUCUGAAUGAGCUGAAUGAAACUGAAUACUGAAUGAAAAAAGUUGUUUGAUAAUUAACAUGUUUGAAACAUCUGAAUAACAGAUUUUUAUUAUUUUACCACUUUAAAAAAAUUCAAAAUUAUUGUAAAUUUAUUUAAUAUUACUUAAUAUAAUACUUAAUAUGGUGAUAAAAAAUGCUUCAUUCAGCCAAAAAAUGACACUAAACCAUUCAACCCGUCUAAAUGGUUGACCGAUUCAGCCAUUCAGACGAUAUUUUUAAAAAAAAGAAACGCCGUGAAUGGCUGACCGAUUCAGUCAUUCAGUGCGUAACAAAACAAUCCCUUAGUUCAUAAUAUUUAUAAGUUUUAAUAUAUAUAAAGAACAUGAUCCUAACAUAGUGGAACAAAGCUAUUCCGUAGCCUUGCAUUUGCCCUUAUCUUUUUCCUGAGUUUCUGUCUCGUUCUGUUUUAACUGUACUAUUUAAGAAAAGCAAGAGUGAACAAGAAGUUUGCUCAGCAAUUAUAAAACCAACAAUAAUAUAUGGUCAUGCUCAAGGUUUAGAAAUUUUAGAAGCUUAGUCAAUUGAAAAGCAGUUUAUGAACUAAAUUGGACGAAUUGGAUACAUAAUUUUAACAAUUUCAAGGUCUGAACAUUUUUAUUACUGAGUGGUCGAUGCGGACCAUUAACUCUGUGGAAGGAUUAUCACUGUAUGAUUGUAAGCCUUCGAUAACAGGUAUAUGAGGUGAUCAGCCUCGUCGUACCUUACAUUAUACAUUACUUUUAGAUAUGUUGUAAGACCCCAAAUUUUAUGAAAUAAAAGUAUUAAUUUUUUCUUAUAAUUAUUAUUCAGUAAUUGGUUAAAUUUAUAAAAGGUUAAAGUUAAGUGUGAUAUGUAAAAAUUUUAUAAAAUAAGCAAGUUGUCAUAAAAUAUUCUGUUGGUAGGGGAAUAUUCUUUUUGUCGGGGAAUAUCCGUACGACGAAGAAAUCAUUAAUGGACCACAUAACGGAAAAAUUGUCGAAUAUAGAAGCGACAAAAAUAAUCUUUUUAUAAAAAUAAUGGCAAGACUUUUAUCGUUAAACUGUUGGAAUAUUCGGUGAUAAAAGAACAGUAAUACGCGUUAUUACACAGUAGUACACGGUAUUGCACAGUAUCUCUGAUUAUUGAUGCUUACGUAAUAAGUCACUCAAUUUCGUUCAAUUAUUAUCACAGUAUUAUCUGUAUAAUAUUUUAUAUUAUUAAAAUAAUAAUUGAGAUGACACAAUUAUUCAUAUUAUUAUUUGUAUUAUUGACAAUGUCUAGGAAGUUCUAUCAAGGAAAGGGGUUUGGUUAUUUAAUUGCGCGCCAGUAAGGAGAAAUCCUUAUCGAAAAGCCCCCUCUUUCCUGGGAACGAUCUGGUUGUCAAUAUUAUGAGUUAUAAUAUUAAAUGAUGAAUAAUUGUUGAAAGAUUAAAAAUGUGUUGUGGUAAUUAUUUAUUUAAUUUUUUUAUAUAAAUAGAUGGGGUUUUCAUGAGGCGUUUGUUGUAAGUUUGACUUAUUAUUCAAUGGGGAGAUAUGCAAAUUUUUCAGACCAUCAGUUGAAGUUAUAAUAAUAAAUCAAUAUGGACUGUUGGUUGAAGUUAUAAUAGUAAAUCAAUAUGGACCGCUGAUUGAAGUUAUAAUAGUAAAUCAAUAUGGACCAUUCGUGAAUUUGUUACUAUUUAGUCCAUUCUCCUAUAAAUAAAAGUUCAUUACUUCAUUCUUUUUUACGAAUUCACUAAACUAUAAAGAGAGAAACUAUAGAGAGAAAGAAGAAGAGUAUUCUGUUACUUCACUAUUGUAAGACCUCAACUUUUAUGAAUAAAAAUGAAUUUUCUAUAAUUAUCAUUUUUGAAUAUUAUGGAAUGAAUUUGAUAUAAUGUUAUAGUUGUGGGUAAUAUUUAUAAAUUUUGCAUAGUACGCAAGUUGUUAUAUAAUAUUCGAUUGGUCGGGGAAUAUUCAUUUUAACAGGAAAUAUUCGUACGACGACACAAUCAUUGGUGGACCCCACAACAAAAUUAUUGUCGGAUUGAGAAAAUGACAAAAAUAUUUUUAUGAAAAUAACGGCGGAAGUUUUACCGUUGAUACUGUUGAACUACUCGGUAGUAAAAGUACAGUAAUACACGUGGUUGCAUAGUAGCACACGAUAUUGAUUAUUGAUGCUUACGUUAGAAGUCAUUCAGUUUUAUUCAAUUAUUGUCGAUAUUUUAUAUGUUAUUAAAUCAAUAAUUGAGAUGACAGAUUUAUUAAUAUUAUUAUUUGCAAUAUUAACGAUGUCUAGAAGUUCUGCCAAGGAGAGGUUUGGUUACCUAAUUGUGCGCCAAUUGGGAGAAAUCCUUAUUGGAAAGCCCCCUCUUUCCUGGAAACGACCUGGUCGGUUAAUAGUGUGAAUAAUAAUAAUGAUGAUGAAGUUUUGUUUUAUUCGUAUUAUUAACGUAUUAAAGCAGAAAAACUUUUUAUAUAAAACAGAAUACUUUUAUAAAGUUAUUCAUUUUAUUAGGCUAAUAGUAAAAUAUUUUUAUAUAAAACAGAAUACUUUUAUAAAGAUAUCUGUUUUAUUAGACAAUAAUUAGAAUAUAUUAUAUUUUAUUAGGCAUAGUGUUUGCAUAGUGCCUGCAUAGUAUUUGCAUAAUAAAUCUUUUUAAAAGUUAUUCAUUUUAUUAGAUUAUAAAUAGAAUAUAUUAUAUUUUAUUUAAAAGAUUUUGCUUUAAAUAUGGACCGUCCGAUUAAAGUAAAUCAAUCUGGACCGUUCAUGGAUUGGUUACUAUUCAUUUCAUUCUUCUAUAAAUAGAAGCUCAUUCCAUCAUUAUUUCUUACGAAUUCACUAGAACUCUAGAGAGAGAAACUAUAGAGAGAAAGAAGAAAAGUAUUCUGCUACUUCACUACUCCGAUAUCAAGUUUCUUUUACGGUAAGGAGUAUUAUUUUUUUUUUGUAUUCAUGAAGAGAACUUCUGUUAUUCCAUCUUUAUUAUUCUGUUGGAAUAACCUGUAUACGCGGGCUACCCUAUACUUGGUGAAAUUCUUCUGUAUUCCAUUCUUUGUUAUUCUGUUAGAAUAUCCUGUCUGUGCGUUUACGCUGGACCUGGUUCCGUCUUUAUUAUUCUGUUGGAAUAUCAUGUCUGUGCUUUACGUCGGACCUGAUUCCGUCUUUAUUAUUAUGUUGGAACAUUCUGUCGGUGUGAAUUUCACCUGACCUGGUUCCGUUAUUUAGUAUUCUGUUGGAAUAACAUGUCUAUGCGAAGUACCACAUGCAUGGUGACUUCUGUUGUUAUUACAUUCCUUAUUAUUCUGUUGGAACAUCCUGUCGGUGCGAAUUUCGCCUGACCUGGUUCUGUUAUUUAUUAUUCUGUUGGAAUAACCUGUCUAUGCGAAGUACCGCAUGCAUUGUGACUUCUGUUGUUAUUCCAUUCCUUAUUAUUAUGUUGGAACAUCUUGUCGGUGCGAAUUUCGCCUAACCUGGUUCCGUUAUUUAUUAUUCUAUUGGAAUAACCUGUCUAUGCGAAGUACCGCAUGCAUGGUGAUUUCUUUUGUUAUUCCAUUCUUUAUUAUACUCAGUUGGUUAAAGUUUUGACUUCUAUACUCCGUGAAAUUAGUGGAAUAUCCUUGAUAUUUGCGCUUCAUCCAGUAUCUUUUCAUGGAAAUAUUCUUCUGAGCAUUCUUGAAUUUUACUUUACAAAGAAGUAUCA
This 73454-nucleotide long non-coding RNA is filed under the name Panax ginseng (ginseng). RNAcentral's name for it is "long non-coding RNA (PGIN_LNC012082)". Lineage: Eukaryota; Viridiplantae; Streptophyta; Magnoliopsida; Apiales; Araliaceae. The record is from RNAcentral.